GAUGAGUAGGCGUCGAAGAGCUCGUUGAGUCGGCGUCUAGGUGCCGUAGUUGUUGUUUGUUGUAGUGAUCGGUCGGUGAACGUCGCCGACUUAGAUGUUUGGAGCGACAGAAGGAGUAUUAUAGUAGUGUUGAUGGUUUGUUCUAUGUGGUUUGAUGAAGAUAUUGAGUUGUUGUUGAAGCUUUCAUGAGAUUUGUUGUUGUUUUAAUGGAUUUAGAGGUGAUGGAUAAUGGUGGUUUUAUGAAAUUUUCUUGUAGCAAGGUUUUUUAUAGUUGUUUAGAGAUGAAGAUGGUGAUGAAGAGUAAGUUGUAAUGGUGAUUUUUAUGAUGAGCUAUUGAUGGUGGUGUUUUCUUGAGAGUGAGAAGGAAAUGUGAUGGGUGUUUGCACCAUGUAUUAGUGCAUGAAAGAAGAAAAAACGUGUGUCUUUCAAUUUAAGAGGAAAGAGUUUAUUCUAUUUUCUUUUUAUUGUGGCCCGCGUGUCGCUUCUUCACCGGAGGGAGAUCAUUUAUUUUUUUCUUGAAACAAAUAUUUGCUAUGCUUCCACAUCUCCAUUUCCCUUACCAUUCAUUCUCUAUUGCAAUUGGUAAAAGAUAUCUUCAUGUAACCAAAGAAAUAACGCCACAUGGCACUGAAAGAGAGAGGAUUUUAUCCAAUCUUUUUACUUGAUUUUGGAAUUUAAAAAAUAAAUCUAUCUAAUGAAAUAAAAAUUAAAAGAACAAAUAAAAAAAACAAACUAGGUACUUAAAUAAAUUCUAAUUUAUUCUACUAAUUAUAUUUACUAAAAAAUAAAAAUAAUCAGAUAAAAAAAAAUUCGGGCAAAAAAAUGUUCGAAAAAAUAAAUUAACUGCACCAAAAUUAUCAGCGCGAAAUACACUAUUCGAAAACAUAUAUGUUUUGAUCGAAAUUUUGAAAUAAAAAUUGACCGGUUAAAAGACUCAGGUUGAUCAGAACGCGAUCGAAAAAGUAGUCAAAAAAUUAAAACGAGCAUACUAGGUUAAACUACGCGGAACGUAGAUUAAUAAAACUGACAUCUGCAAGCUCAAAUUUGAAAAUUUCCGCCCGCUAAUUCGUCAUUCAAUUGAGAAACUAUUCGAUCGGUCUCUCUGUAGAUCCGAAAAAUUUAUCUGGCCGAUAUUUCAAGUGUUAUGUGAAACAAAAUGCAUGAUAUGACAAGUAUAAAAAUGUAAACGUCUUCUAAAUGCACUGAAUUUCUAAUUGAAUAAUCGUAAAUGGAUAAUCAUAUGCAAAUGAAUCGCCCUUGGACCAUUUACUUUUGAUUCUCCAUCACAAAUAAAACAUUUCAAAGAUUCAGAUGACGACAAAACUCUUGAUUGUCAUCCUCUGAACCUUUGAAAACACGAUGCAAUGGAAUGAACGAUGCUAUGAGAUUGAGAAAUCAAGUCUUUCGACUUCUUAAUCAAUAGAUAACUGAAUGAAUGUCAUCAAGACCAAUAAACUGCCAAAACUCCAAACUUUUUAUCUAAACCCCAAUGAAUGCUUUUAACUGAUGAAAAUGUAUGACAAAAAUGGAUAAAUUUAUGCUAUGUUUAUGCGAGUGAAAACUCAUGGUAAAAUUUAGGGUAUGCCACAACACACACUCUAUCAUACGCACAUGCUAUUAGGUGACCCAUGUCAAGGAAGCACAUCCAUUUUGCCUCUGGUGCCGGACCGCUAAGGCAAGGAACAAGAGACUCGUAAACUUCAUCGAAUGUUUCUUUCUUUCCGUACAACUGUGUGCAUGAUUCUUUAUACGUCAUGAACUAUUGGAUAAGUUGAUGGAAGACAAGUGUAUGAUUAUCUUCUCAUUUACCGAGUAAAUUCGAAAUUGUUCGAUAACUACAAUUACUACCCCCCGUAACAUUGACGAUUCACUCGAUGUAUUUGUGCAUAAAAACGGGCACCUCGUCGAUGAAUGGAAUUUUUUGUGGAGGCGGCGUAUGAGGUGGUUUGCUAAUGCGAGGUCCUUUGAAAACACUUUUUUGAAAUUUUGGAGUUGGUAAGUCGGGAAAAACUUUGUCAACAUGUUCAAAAAAUGAAGGAGAUCGUGUAGUCGAAUUGUCAUUCAGUGUUGGCUUCAUUUUCUUCGGAGCACCUUUUGUUUUUACCGGUUGAGAUGGUGGUUUCAUGUCGAUGCUUUCCGGAUAGGCAAUCUUCCUCAAUUGUUCUUUGAUGUGGAGUUUCAAGUUGUCACCGACUUUCAAAAGUCUCUCUUGUAUCACUUCUCAUUCGGUCAUAAUAGAGAUAUUCGAUUUACCGUCAUUCAUGACACGAUCAUCAUCAAAUGAGUGCAAACCUCAUCCACUGUUAUUAGGCUACCAAGUUUCACCUUUUUUGCAACAACACAAGCACAUGAGAGACCAUAUGUUUUCACAAUUGUGCAUGCACACUUUGCACUAUCAGAGCCUACAUAUCAGCUCGUUUAGCCUCAUGAAAAGUAUAAUUCAAACCCGCACGAGAAAUGUUAUCGACCAACUGAGAAUAAAGAGUGUUGUCUUUAAAUUUGUAUUCCAAAACUGUGAUGCUCCGAACAAAUGAUGUGUGUAUCUCAUUAUACUGGUUUUGAAUCAUGUGGUACACAUAGUCUCAAUCUCUACACAAACCGCCCUUACUAUUUCCCAACCAAUUUUUCAAAGUAGCAUGGGCAGACUCAACUCUGUUAGUUAUUGUAUUUCUAAGGUGUCUAACAUUAUCAAUCCAUGCACAAACAAUUUUCUUCUUUACCUGGUCAAGAAUUGUGCUUUCAACAUAUUUCAACAAAUCCGGAUACUUUUCAUACACUUUCCUGAAAUGCAUAACAGAAGCGACAUAUAGUUCUUUUAUGAAAGAAAUUAUUAUACGAUUCCAUGCAUCAAUUAUUUUUUCCACAACCAGACCCUCCUUCCCCAUUUUCCCAUCUUCAGACUCUAUUUGAUUCGUCCCUAUGUUAUGUGAUACCUACAAAGUAAUGAAUUAGAGGAAGAAAAUACCUUUACAACCGAUUUCAUCAAGACGGUAUCGCUGUCGGUAACAAUCACUUUAUGCAUCUUACCUUGGUCUUUCAAUAGUGUCUGACACACCUCUAAGGCCUAAGUAAAAUUGUCUUAUUUUUCACACUCAAGAAAUACAAACCCAACUGAAUAUCUCUUCUUAGUUGAUGUAACACCAACCAUCUCCAAUAAUGGAAGUCUAUACUUGUUGGGUUUGUAGGUUGAAUCAAGUAUGAGCAUGGUAGGAAACGUACUGAGCAACUUUAUGGAAUCAGGAUGAGUCCAAAAUAUAUCUCUAACAAUAACUUCAUCCUCGCAAGUUUGGUACCUAGACACGUAAUCGUUAUCAUCCAACAAUUUCAAGAGUUGUUGCAUUUCAAUUAUACCCCCUUAAGCGCCUUGUUAGUUUGAUACCGAAUAUUAUACACUUGCUUGAUAUUUGAUAUAUUUUCGGGUCUUUUCCGUUUCAAUAUUGCAAGUAUAUUUUUCGGUUGAAUCAAAUUCAAUGUCAUGUCAGCAACACAUCCUUUCUCUUUCGGCAUGAGCCGACACACACUAGGAUGACUGGCUAAUUUUUCACAAAAUCAUGGUUAUGCAAACCACAUAUGACAUUAAAUCUCCAGUUUUUAUUUUCCAACAUGUAACCACGCACCUUAAACAAACAUUCACAUUUUCUUGAACCGGUGCCGUCUCUUUUAAAAAUAUGGAGUGGAGUUCUAUAUCUCCAGCUUCUUUCGCACGUCAUUAUCACAAAAGUGCACCUUCUAUCUGAACCGUUAUCGGGCCUUCCAAUAGCCACACUAAAUCAAAGUUUAGAGACCUACAUAUGAAUCCAUUGAAGCAUUUGAUCACAAGAUUCAAACUCUUGCUCAUUUUUAAAUUGGUUCCCAACAUAUACCGCCCUCACAACAACACCUUGGACAUUCGGAGAAACAACUUGUUUUGAGAAAACAUCGGGGUGCACCAUAUCUAAAGAAAAUAAUUACAACAUAUACGCGCCACUGCUGAAAACAAAGUUGGAAAGUGAACACAAAUUAGUUCCAGAAAUGCAUCUCUGAAAAUGUUCAUACUCGUUCUGGAGAUACAUUUUCGGACACAACGCUCAUUUUUUCAAACAAAAUACAUGAUUAAUAUGAGAAAUGCAGUGUGAAAUAAAUGAUCUUUACAUGAAAUUAUAACUUCUUUUGCUCCCUUUGAUAUGAUGAACCACAAGUUUAGAGAUUUGGAGUGAAAAAAUAGAUUGAGAAUGGAAAGGUUUUUGGUAAGGGUUUGUAGAGAAAAACAACAAUGACAAUAAUGGUUGUGUGAUCAUGCAACUGUUUUUUUAUCAGAUUAUUCCGGAGAUGCAUCUCCAGAAAUAUCUCACAUGAAAAGGUGACAAAAUAUUUCAAAAUCCCAUCCAAACUUCCGAAGAUGUAGCUCCAUAAAUUCUACUGAACUGAUCAAUUAUGAAUAUAUUUCUUGAAAUGUUCUGGAGAUGCAUCUCCGGAAUAAAAAUAACCCAACUUAUAGGGCGCCACUCAUAAUGGUGUGUGUGUGUGUAUGUGUGUGUGUGUGUGUGUGUGUGUGUUGUGUAACACCCUUCUAAAAUACCCCAAAUAUUUAAUUAAAAUAACAACAUAUAUCAAUCAGAGUAGAUAUGCAAUUACGGGUGUCACACAAUUACUUCACAACUUGAGUUUGGUGUGUGAGAGAUCACAUAGUGUCAAAUUGGGAAUGUGAAACUAACAAGUGGUAUUUGGAUGAGAUCAGAGAGGUCAGAAAUCUGAUGUGCUUUUGGUUGAUAAGUUGACUUUAGUGAAUCAAGGUCAAGGUGGUGAAUUCAGAGUUGAUGAGAAUGGUAUUUUGAAAUUUGGUAAUCGGGUGUGUAUUCCGGAUGUUGCGAGCUUAAGAAGAGUAUUCUUGAAGAAGGACAUCGUAGUGGUUUGAGUAUUCAUCCUGGAGCUACGAAGAUGUAUCAAUGAUUUGAAGAAGUUGUUUGGUGGCGGGAAUGAAAAGAGAAAUUGCGAGUUUUUGUUUAUUCCUGUUUGACUUGUCAGAAAUCAAAGAUUGAGCAUCAGAAGCCGUCUGGGCUAAUGCAACCGUUGGCUAUUCCAGAGUGGAAGUGGACAGUAUCAGUAUGGAUUUUGUUUGGGUUUACCGAGAACAAGUUAAGAAUUUUGAGGCUAUUUGGGUGAUUGUGGAUAGAUUGACAAAAUCGGCUCAUUUCAUUCCGAUCAGAAUGGAUUAUCCGUUGGAGAGGUUAGCUGAAUUGUAUAUUGAGAAGAUUGUAAGUCUACAUGGUAUCCCGUCGAGUAUUGUUUCGGACAGAGAUCCUAGAUUUACAUCGAGUUUUGGGAAGUUUGCAGAGGCUUUGGGAACUAAGUUGAGAUUAGUCUGCAUAUCAUCCGCAGACUGAUGGUCAGACUGAGAGGACGAUUCAGUCAUUAGAGGAUCUUUUGAGACUGUGUUUUGGAAAGGGAGUGCUUGGGAUUGUUAUUUACCUUUGGUUGAGUUUACUACAACAAUAGUUUUCAUUCGAGUAUUGGUAUGGCACCGUUUGAAGCUUGUGUAUGGUAGGAGAUGUCGACACUUUAUGUUGGUAUGAGUCCGGUGAGAGUGCUGUGGUUGGACCAGAGAUUGUCAACAGACUACUGAAAAGAUUAAGAUGAUUCAGGAUAGAUGAGAAUGCUCAGAGUCGUCAGAAGAGUUAUCAUGAUAGAGGAGAAAGUCCUUGAGUCCAAGAGGAGAUCAUGUGUUUCUUCGUGUACUCCGAUAACUGGUGUUGGUCGAGCCUGAAGUCAAAGAAGCUGACUCCUCGAUUUAUUGGUCCUUAUCAGAUUUUGGAGAGGUAGGGGAGGUAGCCUAUCGUAUCGCUUUACCGCCGUCACUUGCGAAUUGCAUGAUGUUUUUCAUGUGUCUCAUUGAGGAGAUACGUUCAUGAUCCGUCGCAUGUAGUCCAAGUAGAUGAUGUACAGGUGAGAGAUAACCUGACUGUUGAAACAUCACCUAUGAGGAUUGAAGAUCGAGAGUUGAAGCAGUUGCGGGGGUAAAGAGAUUGCCUUAGUGAAGUAGCUUGGGAAGGACCAGCAGGUGGCAAUGUGACUUGGGAACUUGAGAGUCAGAUGAAGGAACUUAUCCAGAGUUGUUCGCUUGAGGUAUGGUUCGAGACGAAAACUCUUUUAGUGGGGAGAGUUGUAACACCCCAAUUAAAAUAAGAUAUUAUUUAAUUUAAAUUAAUAUUUUUUUAUUAAUUUAAUUGAAUAAUUGGAAAUUUGGAUUAUUAUUAUUAUUAUUUUGGAAUAAUAAUUAUUGGAAUAAUUAUUUAUUGGAAUAUAUAAGUUGAAAUAAAAGUCCCAAUUUGGAAAAAAGGUUUUCACGUGAAAAGGAAAAGAGAAGCGGCUGAAAGAGAGAGAAGGGCAAAAGGCAGAGCAAGAGAAGAGGAAAAGCUUGAAGCUGCAGAAUUGCCGGAUUAACUCAGUAAGGGGGUUAUCAUCGGUUAAAGGUAUAUGAUAAUAUGUACUGGUAGUGAUAACCAUUGUUUUACCUCUGAUUAGAUGGAUGCAUGAUGAAUUGUGAAAUAUUGGAUGAAUGAAAUUGGAUGAUAAUUGAAAGGUUUGGUAGGAAUUGGAUGUAAAGUGUUAGAUUUGUGUAAUCGAAUAAGAUAGGAAUUGUGUGGAAAAUAUGGACGAUUAUUUGGUGUAAAUUGGACUGUAGAAGGUUGGAUCGGAUAGGUUUCGUAAUAGAGAAAGUCAUUUGCAGAUCUGGAAAUCUGGUUCUAUAGCAGAGGGUUCUGUUUGCGCGCGAUUCACGCGCGAAGCCAGUGCCGCGAACUGGCAAAUCCAGAGGGUUCUGUAACGCACCGUUCGCGGCGCGAACCCUGCUGCGGCGCCAACUGUGCUGUGCAGAGUUGAUGUUGGAUGGUGAAUUCCUGUGUGGUGGUGAUGCAGUUUUGGCUGUCUAGGCUGAAUGAUGUGACUUAGCUGAGGACCGAUGUAAAGGGAUCAUUUCCCGUUGUUUGAGUGGCAUAGUAUUAGUAGGGUGUGCUAAUACUAUGAUUAAUUUAUGCAUGAUAUGAUAGCUUUCGUGAUGAAAUGUGUUGAUGAUAUGUGAUGGUAUGCAUAAUGCUGUGAAUGUAUCGGUGAUGUAUGCAUAUUAAUAGACUGUUGUAUGGCUUAGAGUGUGAGCAUGUGUCUAUUCUUGAAUUGUUGUUUGUUGUUGCCUUGCUAGAUGAUUAGCGCAUGGCAUAGCCUGUGGGGCUGUAGCUAAUUCCCAUUGUGAGGAAUUAGUGAGUAAAAUAUGGUGGAGUUGUUGUUGAUGUUUGCAUACUAGAUGAGUAGUGUGCAUAGUCUAGCCUUUGGGCUGUAGCUAAUUCCAUGGUGAGGAAUUAGUGAGUGAGUCAUUAGAUCUCAAUGAGUGGGACUAGUGAGCUCAGUAGCCGUAUCCGAGGGAUCGGUGAGCUUGGACUAUAUGUUCAAGAAGAGUUGUACCGCAUUUCAUGGAGUCUCAUUGCAUAAUGAAUGCAGCAUAGCCUGUGGGGCUGUAGCUAUUCCAUUGUGAGAAUUAGUGAGUAAAUCGUUGUGUUGUGUUGUUGGUGUUGAAUAUGGUUUGAGACUAUACAUAGAUAUAUAUUAUUGUUGAGUAUAAUGUUUGCGUUGAUACUGCCGUUAUGGAGUGUGUAGUCUGGUUAGGGUGAUUUGAUGCGUUAUUUACUUAACAUUACAUAAUGUUGUAUAAUGCUUAUUAUAUGAUUGGGAACUCACUUACAACUAUGUUUUUCAGUAACAGCAGUGAGUUGAGUAGAAGCUAGUCCUUGGAGUCUAGUGUCGUCCUUAGUGUCAUGCUCUGGUAGAUGUAACAUCGGGAGGGGAUGUUUUAAUUAUUUUGAUGUUGAUUGUUGAAUAUUUACAUGUACUGUGGUACAUGUUAUUACAUGAUUGAAUUGAUUUUCUAUCCGCUGCGAAUUAUGCAAAAGUGUCCUAUUUUGAUUAAAUAAAUGAGCAUGACAGGAUAUUUGAUGAAUAUUGUGUGACACCCUUCGGGGCAUAUACUCUGAUUGAUAUGUUUAUAUUUAAUUAAAUAUUUGGGGUAUUUUAGAAGGGUGUUACACUAAUCACCUAGCAUGCAAACAUCAACAACAAUCCACAUACCCACAUCACAAUUCCUNNNNNNNNNNNNNNNNNNNNNNNNNCCAUUCACCAUAUAACUGUCAUGCUUUUUAUUAAUUCAAAACAUAAAGCAUUUGCACAAUACGCAGCGGAUAGAGAUAAAUCAAUCAUGCAAACAUGUAGCAUAUACAUGUAAACUGGUUCACAACCAACAAUAAACAUUUAAAACAUCCCAUCCGAUGUUACAUCUACCAGAGCAUGACCACUAAGGAACUACACUAGAUCCACAGCACUAGCUCCUACUCAAUCACUGCUCGUUACCUGAAAAAUAGUGUAAGGGUGAGUCUCAAUCAUAUAUAAGCAUUUAUAAAAUAUCAUGCAAUGUUAAGUAAUUUAACACAUUUCAUCACCCUAAUCAUAACACACAUUCAGUAAACGGCCAAUCACUCAACACUCAUACUCAACACCAACAUAAAGCACAUGUAUAAUCUCAUUCAUACUCACACCAACACAAAACACGUAUAAUAUUGGAAUACAUCAUUCAUAUUAUACGUCAUACAUACAUUAUGCAAUGAGACUCCAUGCAUCGCGUACGACUAUUCGUGAACAUAUAGUUCAACCUCACCGAUCAAAUCCAGAUACGGCUACAAGUCACUAGUCCCACUCAUUUGACCUAGUGACUCACUCACUAAUUCCUCACAUGGUAUAGCUACCACCCAAGGCUAUUGAUAUGCACCGCUAAUGUAACACCCCAAUAAAAUAAGAUAAUUAUUUAAUUUAAUUAAUAAUUUAUUUAUUAAUUUAAUUGAAUAAUUGGAAAUUGGAUUAUUAUUUUAUUAUUUUGGAAUAAUAAUUAUUGGAUAUUAUUUAUUGGAAUAUAUAAGUUGGAAUAAAAAGUCCCAAUUUGGAAAAAAAGGUUUUCACGUGAAAGGAAAAGAGAAGCGGCUGAAAGAGAGAAAGGGCAAAAGGCAGAGCAAGAGAAGAGGAAAGCUUGAAGCUGCAGAUUUGCCGGAUUAACUCAGGUAAGAGGGGUUUAUCAUCGGUUAAAGGUAUUAUAUGAUAAUAUGUACGGUGGGUAGUGAUAACCAUUGUUUUACCUCUGAUUAGAUGAUGCAUGAUGAAUUGUGAAAUAUUGGAUGAAUGAAAUUGGAUGAUAAAUGAAAGGGUUGGUAGGAAUUGGAUGUAAAGUGGUUAGUUUUGUGUAAAUCGAAGAUAGGAAUUGUGUGGAAAAUAUGGACGAUUAUUUGGUGUAAAUUGGACUGUAGGAAGGUUGGAUCGGAUAGGUUCGUAAUAGAGAAAGCAUUGCAGAUCUGGAAAUCGGCUUCUGUAGCAGAGGUCUGUUUGCGCGGAUUCGCGGCGCCGAACUGGCAAAUCCAGAGGGGUCUGCUAACGCACGUCGCGGCGCGAACCCUGCUGGCGGCCGCGAACUGUGCUGUGCAGAAGUUGAUGUUGGAUGGUGAAUUCGUGUGGUGGUGAUGCAGUUUUUGGCUGUCUAGCUGAAUGAUGUGACUUAGCUGAGGACCGAUGUAAUAGGAUCAUUUCCCGUUUUUGAGUGGCAUAGUAUUAGUAGGUGUGCUAAUACUAUGUUAAUUAUAUGCAUGUAUUGAUAUGCUUUCGUGAUGAAAGUGUUGAUGAUAUGUGAUGGUAUGCAAUAUGCUGUGAAUGUAUCGGUGAUGUAUGCAUUAUUAAUGACUGUUGUAUGGCUUAGAGUGUGAGCAUGUGUCUAUUCUUGAAUUGUGUUGUUGUUGUGCCUUGCUAGAUGUUAGCAUGCAUGCAUAGCCUGUGGGGCUGUAGCUAAUUCCCAUUGGUGAGGAAUUAGUGAAGUAAAAUAUGGUGGAGUUUUGUUGAUGUUUGCAUACUAGAGAGUAUGUGCAUGUCUAGCCUUUGGGCUGUAGCUAAUUCCAUGGUGAGAUUAGUGAGUGAGUCAUUAGAUCUCAAUGAUGGGACUAGUGAGCUCAGUAGCCGUAUCCGGAGGAUCGGUGAGCUUGGACUAUAUGUUCAAGAAGAGUUGGUACCCGCAUUUCAUGGAGUCUCAUUGCAUAAUGAAUGCAUGGCAUAGCCUGUGGGGCUGUAGCUAAUUCCAUUGUGAGGAAUUAAUGAGUAAAUCGUUGUGUUGUGUUGUUGGUGUUGAAUAUGGUUGAGACUAUACAUAUGAUAUAAUUUAUUUUGAGUAUAAUGUUUGCGUUGAUACUGCCGUUAUGGAGUGUGUAGUCUGGUUAGGUGAUUUGAUGCGUAUUUACUUAACAUUACAUAAUGUUGUAUAAUGCUUAUUAUAUUGAUUGAGAACUCACCCUUACAACUAUGUUUUUCAGGUAACGAGCAGUGAGUUGAGUAGAAGCUAGUCCUUGGAGUCUAGUGUCGUCCUUAGUGGUCAUGCUCUGGUAGAUGUAACAUCGGAGGGGAUGUUUAAUUAUUUUGAUGUUGAUUGUUGAAUAAUUUACAUGUACUGUGGUACAUGUUAUUACAUGAUUGAAUUGAUUUUCUAUCCGCUGCGAAUUAUGCAAAAGUGUCCUAUUUUGAUUAAAUAAAUGAGCAUGACAGGAUAUUUGAUGAAUAUUGUGUGACACCCUUCGGGCUAAUUACUCUGAUUGAUAUGUUUAUUAUUUAAUUAAAUAUUUGGGGUAUUUUAGAAGGGUGUUACAUAGUGGUAUCGAGCAUAGUCGGCGAGUCGAGUCGUAUUAUUCUGUUCUGUACGGGAUAGGUGUUGUGUAACCCAUAGUAUUAUUGUUAGCUUGUGGUGUUUUCAGAUAGAGAUGGCUGGAAGAGGUAGAGAUGAUGCUGGAUUGCUGAGGCUCUGGGUAUGCUAGCUGGAUACUUGGAGGAAUCCGAAUGUUGUGGGAAUGGGAGCUGCUCGUCACUGAGUGAGUUCCAGAAGAACAAUCCUCCAUGUUCAAGGGCGCAUACGACCAAGAGGUGCUCAGAAGUGGUUGAAGGAGAUAGAGAGGAUCUUCCGAAGUGACUGAGUGUGCGAUAACCAGAAGGUCAGGUUUCGGUACGCAUAUGCUGUCAGAGGAAGCUGAUGAUUGGUGGGUUGCUACCCGCACUGAGUGGAAACUGCUGGGAAUGCGUGAAUCACUUGGGCUGUGUUCAGAGAGAGAUUCCUGAGGAAGUAUUUUCCAGAGGAUGUUAGGGAAAGAAAGAGAUAGAGUUCUUGGAAUUGAAGCAGGGUAACAGGUCUGUUACUGAGUAUGCUGCUAAGUUCACAGAGCUGUCGAAGUAUUACUCCUAUAAUGAGGCUGCUGCGAGAAUUUUCGAAAUGUGUGAAGUUGAGGAACGGGUUGCGUCUGAGAUCAAGCAGGCUAUUGUAUCAGGGAUCGAGUGUUUUCUGAUUGGUUGACUGUUGCAGGAUUUUUGAACAGGAUUCCAAGGCCAGAGCUGAGAGCUAUCAGCAGAGGUUGAUAGGAAAGCAAGAAUCAGAUUGAUCGUGGAAACCGUAUGCAGCUGGCAAAGGUUUUCAGAGACAGAGUGGGAUGAAGAAGCUAGUGGGGGAGACUCUAGUGCUCCUGUUAAGUGUUACAGAAUGUGCUCGGGCUGGACAUCGUGUUCAUGAGUGUACCAGUGCUGAGAUGAAGUGUUUCAAGUGGGAAAGGUGGUCAUUUGGCUGCCAGUAUGCGGUUGAAGACUGUGAUUGUUUCAACUGUGGAGAGUGGGUCAUAUCAUCGCAGUGUCCUAAGCCGAAGAAAGAGAAUCAGUCGGGAGCAAGGUUUUUGCUUAUCGGGUUCUGAGACUUCUGCAAUGUCGUGAUCGGUACGUGUUAUAUUAAUGGCUCUUCCUCUUGUAGCUAUUAUUGACAGGGUGCGACUCAUUCUUUUAUAUCUUGGAUUGUGCUGUAACUUAGUUAGAGAUAUCUGAGAUGUUUGUAGUAUGGUGUAUGAUACUCCUGCGAAGGGUUCAGUGACUUACUACGUCAGUUUGUUUAAAUUGUCCUUAGUAUUUUUGGUAGAGACUUGGAUAGACUUUGUGUCUUCCAUUAGUGCCAGAUUGAUGUUAUCCUGGGUAUGAACUGGUUGGUGUUUACGAUUUAUAUCAAUUUUUUGAUAGACUGUGAUCUUUCUGAGAUUGAGGAAGGAAGAGUUUGUUUCUAUCAGCGAGGCACGUGUGAAUGAGGAGUAGCUGAUGGGGCCAGAGCUGUUUAUGCUGUUAGCGACUUUGGAAGCUAAAGAUAAACUAGUGUUGGCGAUCUCGUGUGGUGUGUGAUUUCCUGAUCGUGUUCCGGAAGAAGUGAAUGUUACACCAGAGCGUGAAGUUGAGUUUCGAUUGAUUUGGUACCGUACUAGACCGAUAUCGAUGGCUCUGUACGUAUGUCUGCUGUGAGUUAGCUGAAUUGAAAUCAGUUUGGAAUUUGUGGAUAAGAAAUUUAUUCGUCCGAGUGUGUCACGUGGGUGCACCAGUGUUGUUGGUUAAGAGAAAGAAGUACAUGAGAUUGUUGUGUGGAUACAGGCAACUGAAUAAGUGACUAUCUAAGAAUCGUAUCUUUGCCGAGGAUUGAUGAUUGAUGGAUCAGUUUGUUGUGCGAGUGUGUUCAGCAAGAUAGAUUUGAGAUCUGGUAUCAUCAGAUACGUGUGAAACUGAGGAUAUUCAGAAGACUGCUUUCAGAACAAGGUAUGGACUAUGAGUUUCGGUGAUGCCUUUUGGUGUGACUAAUGCGGGAGUAUUCAUGGAGUAUAUGAAUAGAUUUUCCAUCCGUACCUAGAUCGUUUGUUGUGGUGUUUAUUGAUGACAUUUUGGUGUAUUCGAAAUCUGAGAAGAGCAUGCUGAACAUUGAGAGUGGUGUUGGAGUUCUACGAGAAAGAAGUUAUUUGCUAAACUGUCAAGGGUGAAUUUUGGUUAGAAGAGGUUAGUUUUCUUUGGUCAUGUAAUUUCAAGAGGUGGUGUUGCUGUUGAUCCUUCUAGAUAGAAGCGGUAUCUAAGUGGGAAGCUCCGAAGUCAGUUUCUGAGAAGAAGUUUCUUGGACUUGCAGGUUAUUAUUAGGAGUUCAUUGAUGGGAUUCUCUAAGUUGGUUACCGUUGACGAUGUUGACUAGAAAGGCGCACGUUUGUUUGGGACUCAAAUGUGAGAAGGUUUCCAAGAGUUAAGAAAAGGAAGUUAAACUCUGCUCUCUAUCCUGAUAUUACGAGUUCGUCGGAACUAUUUUGGGUUUAUUGUGAUGCUUCAUUGCUGGUUUAGUGGUGUGUUGAUGCAAAUAAGCAGGUUAGCUUAUGCUCGCGAGACAGUUAAGAGUUAUGAGAGGAACUACCCGACAACAUGAUUGAUUGGCAGCUGUGGUAUUUUUUCUGAAAGUUAUGAGAGCAUUAUUUGUAUGGGUCAGAUUGUAGUUUUCAGUGACAUAAAGUUUAAGUAUUUGUUUGAUCAGAAAGAAGCUGAAUAUGAGGCAGAGGAGAUGGUUAGAAGUUCUGAGGAUUAUGAUUUUGGGUUGAAUACCAUCCGGGUAAAGCAAAUGUAGUGGCUGAUCAUUGAGUCGGAAAUCAUUGCAUAGUCUAUGUUAAUUGUUAAGAACUGGAUUUAAUUAACAGUUUAGGACUUGAGUUUGGUGUGUGAGAUACUCCAAUAGUGUCAAUUGGGAAUGUUGAACUAACAUGGUAUUUGGAUGAGAUCAGAGAGGGUCAGAAAUCUGAUGUGCUUUUGGUUGAUAAGUUGACUUUAGUGAAUCAAGGUCAAGGUGGGAAUUCAGAGUUGAUGAGAAUGGUAUUUUGAAAUUUGGUAAUCGGGUGUGUAUUCCGGAUGUUGCGAGCUUAAGAAGAGUAUUCUUGAAAAGGACAUCGUAGUGGUUUGAGUAUUCAUCCUGGAGCUACGAAGAUGUAUCAUGAUUUGAAGAAAGUUGUUUGUUGUGCGGGAAUGAAAGAAAAAUUGCGAGUUUUGUUUAUUCCUGUUUGACUUGUCAGAAAUCAAAGAUUGAGCAUCAGAAGCCGUCUGGCUAAUGCACCGUUGGCUAUUCCAGAGUGGAAGUGGGACAGUAUCAGUAUGGAUUUUGUUUCGGGUUUACCGAGAACAGUUAAGAAUUUUGAGGCUAUUUGGGUGAUUGUGGAUAGAUUGACAAAAUCGGCUCAUUUCAUUCCGAUCAGAAUGGAUUAUCCGUUGGGAGAGUUAGCUGAUUGUAUAUUGAGAAGAUUGUAGUCUACAUGGUAUCCCGCGAGUAUUGUUUCGGACAGAGAUCCUAGAUUUACAUCGAGUUUUGGGAAGGUUUGCGAAGGCUUUGGAACUAAGUGAGAUUAAGUUUGCAUAUCAUCCGCAGACUGAUGGUCAGACUGAGAGGACGAUUCAGUCAUUAGAGGAUCUUUUGAAGCUUGUGUUUUGGAAAAGGGGUGCUUGGGAUUGUUAUUUACUUUGGUUGAGUUUACCUACAACAAUAGUUUUCAUUCGAGUUGGUAUGGCACCGUUUGAAGCUUUGUAUGGUAGGAGAUGUGACACCUUUAUGUUGGUAUGAGUCCGGUCGAGAGUGCUGUGGUUUGACCAGAGAUUGUUCAACAGACUACUGAAAGAUUAGAUGAUUCAGGUAAAUGAGAAUGCUCGAGAGUCGUCAGAAGAGUUAUCAUGAUAGAGGGAAAGUCACUUGAGUUCCAAGAGGAGAUCAUUGUUUCUUCGGUUACUCCGAUAACUGGUGUUGGUCGAGCCUUGAGUCAAAGAAGCUGACUCUCGAUUUAUUGGUCCUUAUCGAUUUUGGAGAGGAUAGGGAGGUAGCCUAUCGUAUCGCUUUACGCGUCACUUGCGAAUUUGCAUGAUUUUUUCUGUGUCUAGUUGAGGAGAUACGUUCAUGAUCCGUCGCAUGUAGUCAAGUAGAUGAUGUACAGGUGAGAGAUAACCUGACUGUUGAAACCAUCACCUAUGAGGAUGAAGAUCGAGAGUUGAAGCAGUUGCGGGUAAAGAGAUUGCUUAGUGAAGGUAGCUUGGGAGGACCGCAGGUGGCAAUGUGACUUGGGAACUUGAGAGUCAGAUGAAGGAUCUUAUCCAGAGUUGUUCGCUUGAGGUAUGUUUUCGAGGACGAAACUCUUUUAGUGGGGAGAGUUGUAACACCCCAAUUAAAAUAAGAUAAUUAUUUAAUUUAAAUUAAUAUUUUUUAUUAAUUUAAUUGAAUAAUUGGAAAUUUGGAUUAUUAUUAUUAUUAUUUGGAAUAAUAAUUAUUGGAAUAAUUAUUUAUUGGAAUAUAUAAGUUGGUAAAAGUCCAAUUUUGGAAAAAAGGUUUCACGUGAAAAGGAAAGAGAGCGGCUGAAAGAGAGAAAGGGCCAAAGGCAGAGCAAGAGAAGAGGAAAAGCUUGAGCUGCAGAUUUGCCGAUUAACUCAGUAAGGGGGUUUAUAUCGGUUAAAAGGUAUUAAUAUAUAUGUACUGGGUAGUGAUAACAUUGUUUUACCUCUGAUUAGAUGGAUGCAUGAUGAAUUUGUGAAAUAUUGGAUGAAUGAAAUUGGAUGAUAAUUGAAAGGUUUGGUAGGAAUUGGAUGUAAAAGUGUUAGAUUUUGUGUAAUCGAAAAGAUAGGAAUUGUGAUGGACAAUUAUUUGGUUGUAAUGGACUGUAGAAGGUGGAUCGGAUAGGUGGAAUAUAGAGAAAGUCAUUUGCAGAUCUAUCUCUCUCACCAUGGGAAUUAGCUACCACCAUAAAGGCCACAAUAUGCAAGCUAAAUCACUUAGUCAUGCAAACAUCAACAAUCAUCCACAAUGGACAUAUGCUCACACUCUAAGCCAUAAACAGUCCAUUCACCAUUGCAUACAUAAUAGAUACAUCCACGGCAUUAUGCAUACAAUCAUACAUCAUCAACAUAUUUAUCACAUAAUCAUAUCAUGCCACAUAAUCAAUCACAGUAUUAGCACACUCUACUAAUACAUAUAUUGCUCAAAACAACGGGAAAUGAUCCCUACUCUAUCAUACAUCAGCUAAAUUACAUUACUCAGCUGAACAACCCAAAAACUGCACAACAACAGCACAGAAAAAUCACAAUUAUGCCCAUACGCGUAUUGCCUAGUCCCAUACGCGUAUGGCCCAUUUCUCAGCCAAUCCCAUACGCGUAUCACCUGUCUCAUACGCGUAUGCUACGCGUACCAACAGAGACCAACCCACGCUCAAAACAUCACCUUCCUCAUCCAUACGCGUAUUGCCUAGUGCCAUACGCGUACCAGACCAUCUCAUACGCGUAUUGCCUAGUGCCAUACGCGUAUGACCAGAAACCAGAUUUCCAGAUCUGCUAUGGUUUUCUCUACCACGAGAUUCCUCAGAUCCAACCUCCCACAGUCCAAUUUUACACAGUAUUCGUUCGUAUCAUCUAACACGAAUCAUACCCUAUUCGAUUUCACAAAUUCUAACAUUAUUACAUCUAAUUCCUACGAAUUCCCUUCAAUUAUAAUCCGAAUUUCGUUCAUCCAAAAGUUCACAAUUUCCUCAUGCAUCAUUCCAAUUAGAGUCAAAUCAAUGGUUUAUCACUACCCAUUACAUGUUAACCCAUAAUACCCAUUAAACGACGAUAAACCCCCCUUACCUGAGUUAAUCCGGCAAUCCUAAAGCUUCAAGCUUUUCCCUUCUUCAACCUUUGCUCUCUUGCUCUUCCUCUUUUGCCUUUCCUCCACUUCUCAAUCGCUUCUCUGUUUCACGUGAAAAAACCCUUUCUUUACCAAAUGGAACUCUUAUAUAUAUUCCCACUUUAUUAUUCCAAUUUAUAUUAUUCCAAUAAUAAUAAUAAUAAUUCCAAUAAUAAUCCAAUUAUUUAAUUAAAUUAAUAAAUAUAUUAUUAACUUAAUUUAAAUAAUUAUCAUAUUUUAUCGGGGUGUUACAUGUUGGAUGCGUCUGAAGAUGCAUCUUUGAAAACUGGGGGACAUUUUAGAAAAUCGUGUGGUGCGUAAGAAGCAUAUAAGGUGCAUUAAGAAAUCCUCUUAUAUUUGUUGAUGUUGGGUUAUAUUUGUUGAUGUUGGGUUAUAUUUGUUGAUGUGGCUAAUUGUUAUAGGGGAAUGAUAUUUAUAUAAAGGAUAAGGAUAGAAAGAUAGAAGGAUUGCGAUGAUAUUUAUAUAAAGGAUAAGGGUAGCAAGAGAGAAGGUUGAGAAUUAUUCAGUUAAGAACCAAAGUGGUUUGGAUAGAGAGAGAAUUGUCUCUUCUCUGAAGAGCGUAGCCUUGGGAUUGCAAGGGUUUAUUGUCUGCAAUAGUUAUUAUUUUUCCAUUAAUAAUACAAUUUCUUUUUCUCUGGUAUUUUGUUGGAAACUCUGGAUAAUUACACAUAAAGCCAAUGAUGGAGGACAUUUGGACUAUGAAGAUGGAAUCAUUAGAUUUUGUGGAGGCAAAUCUUGUUGGUUGGAUUUAUGUGGAUGGACAGUUAUUCCGAGUUAUUAAUCGUGGUCGCUCCAGGCGCUAUCCCAGGGUUCUCUCCCGGUGUGGUAACCCUCUGCUACGGAGGAGCGACUCGCAUCCUAGUUUUAAAUAACAGUCGGGAAAGCUGGGAUAGCAGGUUAUGGGAGCAAAGCGCUUCCUGACCCAUAAUAGUUUUCUGCUUUUAGAAUUUUUUAAAAACGAAAAGACCUUUUUAUCCGUAAAAAUAUUUAAAACUGGAAAAAUUUAUUAUAGUCGUUCAUAUUUUCUCCUCUCAUUCAUGUUUUCACCUUUCUCCAUCGUGUUUCUUCUACAUUUUUCGCUUGCUACUUCUCUUGCUACUUCUCUUGCCCUAACUCCUCCUCCGCCUCAACUGCUUCAACCUUGUCUCUACUUCUAUUCUUCUUUUUCUCUACUUUUUUUUCUACUUUUCUAUUUUGUUCUAUAUCCUAUUCUUUUGCAUUUAUUGUUUUUCUAUUCGUUUUUAGAUUGUUUUUUCUUUUAUAUUAUUGUUUUUUUUUCUUUUAAAAUAUAUUGAUUUUGAGAUUAAUAUAUAUAAAUUAUUCAUAUAAUUAAUCCAAAAAAAAAAAUAAUCUACCGAUAUACUCCCUCCGUUCUUUUUUAAGUGUCACUUUCUUGAAAAAAAAAAGUUAUUUCUUUUUAAUUGUCACUUGCAAAGUUUAAGGUAGUAUUAAAUAUACUUUUGUCAAAAUUACCCAUAAAUAAUUAUUACAGAGAGAGAAAAAGUAAUUGAAAUGUAAUAAAUAAUUAAGGGUAUUAUAGGUAAAAAAAGAAUUAUUGAUUGAAAACUAAUAAUAAUAAUUAAAUGUCUUGGUAUGCGUAAAAAGUAAAAAAAAAAUCUUAAAAAAAAACAAAAGAAGUAUAAUUAAUCUAAAAAAUUAUCCUUCUAUGAUUUCGCUAUCCCAUUUUUGGAUAGACCUUUCCACUAUUUAGAAUUAAUAAUUAUGCAAUAAUUUGACAAUAACAAAAUCCAUUUUGAGUAUAAAUUGCAGGGGACAUUCAUGAGCAUGGAAGAUGAAGGAUCAAUGUUAUGGUUUUGUCAUUGGUGUGAAGAGAAUCUAGAUUCUGAUUGGAAUUUAUUUGGAGCAUAAAUGGUACAAAAUCAAGAAACAAAGUCGAAACUGUUUCAUUGUUGAACAAGAACCAAAACGUUAUACAAAAGUAGAAUCUGACUUCAAGAGAUUGAUGAUACAUGAAUUCAAACGGAUUACCGAAAACGAGGAACAAGAGCCAUGUUUAACGGAAGAAUGAAUGAGAUCUAAAGAAGAAAGCAGCAUGUGUUUGUUUUUGAGCCACCCGACGCCAACCUUUAUGUGAUUGUUGUCGAACUCCAUUGGAUAAAAAUACCCUUAUAUAAAUAAUUUAUUAAAAGUUAAAAAUUAUAAUAAAAAAUAUAAAAGAAUUAUUAUUUAAUUUUUUAAAAAAAAAAUUCGAUACACAAAAUAAAUAUUAAAAAUAUUAAAAAACUAACUAACGAAAGUUUUUAAAAAAGUUUACCGAUACAUAAAAUAAAUGUUAAAAAUGUUAAAAAAAUUGAUUAACGAAACUCUUUUCUAAAGUCUUCAUACACACACAAAAUUAAUGUUAAAAAUUGACUAACGAAACUUUUUUGCAAAGUCUUUCGAUACACAAAAUAAAUAAAAAAAAAUGAGUAUCAUAAUAAAUCUUUUGCAAAGUAUUAUGAUAUGCAAAAUAAAAAGUUAAAAAACAUUAAAAAAUUGAUUACCGUAAUUCUUUUGGAAAGUCUUCCGAUAUAAAAAAGAAAAAUUAAUAUUAAAAACUGACUAUCGAUAUAUAAAAUAAAAGUAAACAAAUAUUUAAAAAUUGAUUAUCAAUUUUUUUUUAAAAGUCUUUUAAAACACAAGAUACAAAUUAUUUUUUUAUUUUAAAAAUAAUAAAUAAAUUAAAAAUAUAUAUGCGAUAUUUUUAUAAAAUAUAGAUAUAAAAAGAAAGGUAGGGAUAUAACUUAAAAUUCUAUUUAUGUUGUUGGGAUAUAUUUGCUCAUGUGACUAGAGAGCAAUGAUAAUUAUAUAAAGGAUAAGGAUAACAAAAGAGAAAAGUAAGAAUUAUUCAAUUUGGAAUCGAAAUAGUUUGAGCAGAGAAAGAAAUGUCUCUUCUUUGAAGAGCUCAUUGUCUAUAUAAGUUUUUGUUUUUUCAGUAAUAAUAUAUUUUUUUCUUGAAUUUGGAUUCUUAAUGUAUGCACAAUUUCCAUUUAUAAUACAAUUUAUUUUGAAUUUGAAUUUGGGUUCCCAAUGUAUACGCAUUGAAAUCAAAGAUUUGAGUCCUUGUAUCGGUGAGAAAUUGUCGUAUCAAUGUGGUGACAAAGACUAAUAAUUAUCUCUCUCUCUUGUCAUGUUAAUUAUGAACUAUUGGUUUAGGAUCAAGAAUUCAUCUAUAUAUGAUUUGGGCAAUGACUGAAAAGGUAAAGUAUACGAUUCAUUCAUUAUUUUUUCCCUUUAAACAAUUAGUCUUGGAUGAAACACACUAUUCUUUCACACAAUUGAUAACUAGGCAAACCUGAAUUGUAAACAUUUAGGGGGAUUAUUAGUUUGGCAAUUGUGAAGUCUAAAAUACUUUUUUUCUCUAUACUGCACUGAUGCAAUCUAAUCUAAUGAUAUGUAGAGGGGGGAGAUGAUCCAUUGGCUUUGUGGAGGGGAUUGCACCCAAACUUUCUUUAUAUAUAUCUCUAACAAUCCACUCUCUCACCUCACUUUAUCCUCCCUUUUUUCUUUGUUUUCCAAUUCUCUCUCCACAAAAAAUGCCUAAAGUCAAGCAAAGUUAGAGAAGAGAAAGUUAGAGAAUCUCAAUUCCAUGCAAAGGAGAGGAUCCGCUGACUUUGUGAAGGAGACUGCACCCUAACUUUCUCUAUAUAUCUCUCUAACAAUCCACUCUCUCACCUCUCUUUUCCCUUUUUUCUCUAUUUUUAAAUUCUCUCUCCAAAAGAAAUGCCUAAAGUCAGGCAAAGUUAGAGAAGAGAAAGUUAGAGAAUCUUAAUCCCAUGUAAGGGAGAGGAUCCACUGACUUUGUGAAGGAGACUGCACCCUAGCUUUCUCUAUAUAUCUCUCUAACAAUCCACUCUCUCACCUCUCUUUUCCCUUUUUUCUCUGUUUUUCAAUUCUCUCUCCACAAGAAAUGCCUAAAGUCAUACAAAGUUAGAGAAGAGAAAGUUAGAGAAUCUCAAUCCCAUGUAGGGGAGAGGAUCCACUGACUUUGUGGAGGGGAUUGCACCCUAACUUGCUCUCUAUAUCUCUCUAACAAUCCACUUUCUCGCCUCUUUGUUCCCUUUUUCUCUGUUUUUCAAUUGUCUCUCCACAAGAAAUGCCUAAAAUCAGGCAAAGUUAAACAAUCUCAAUCCCAUGUAGGGGAGAGGAUCCACUGACUUUGUGGAGGGGAGUGCAUCCUAACUUUCUCUUUAUAUCUCUCUAACAAUCCACUCGCUCACCUCUCUUUUCCCUUUUUUCUCUGUUUUUCGAUUCUCUCUCUACAAGAAAUGUCUAAAGUCAGGCAAAGUUAGAGAAGAGAAAGUUAGAGAAUCUCAAUCCCAUGUAGGGGAGAGGAUCCACUGACUUUGUGAAGGGGACUACACCCUAACAUUCUCUCUAUAUCUCUCUAACAAUCCAUUCUCUCACCUCUCUUUUCCCUCCUUUUUUUCUCUGUUUUUCAAUUCUCUCUCCAUAAGAAAUGCCUGUUAUUACCUGAAGCAAACCAUAUGAGACUUAAACACAAUAUUUUGAGAUUACAUGUAUGUUUGAAUGAGCGGUGAGAUUGAAAAAACACAGUGCCACCGUAAUUGUGAAAGCGAAAGUAUUGAUCUAAAUUAACAAAGUAGAGACAAAUCAAACACAGAAAAAUGUGAUAGCACCUUUUCCACUAUAAUUCGGUACAAAUAUAUUGACAAUAUUUGUUUCCACCUUUAUAGGUUCUUCCAAAUCCUUGGCUAAAAAUCAAAAAUACAUUCUAUUUUUGGAGAUGCAUUUCCAAAGACACUCAUUUUUUACAAAAUUGAAUGCCAACGAGUAAGACAUCCCAAUUAUACCUAAUUUUUGUUCGGAGAUGCAUCACCAAAUAUUUUUUUGAUAUAUUUCGAAGAUGCAUAUUCAAAAGUAGCUCAGAUACUUCAAACCAGAAACAAUGACAAUAUGAGAAAGAUUUAGAAACAAAAUCAACUUGACAAAAAAUUGAAACACUCAACAUUACAUAGAUAGUAUAGUUGUUAACGUAAAUUUAACAUUAGAGAUAGUUACAAACAAGUAGUUCAGGAUGUUGCAACAUAUUGAUAAUAUCAUCGGAGAAUCUUUCAAUCUUUGCAUCCACUUCAAUCGAAGCAUUUGAUGCGUAACGGUAAAAUGUACUCCAAAUGACCUGUAAAUCUUCAUUCGUCUUUAGUUCAAAGUUGGUGAACUGUAUCUUCCCUUCGCUGUCAAUCGAUGAUGAACGAUACUCAAGCUUGAUAACUCUUUGAUUUUCUGGAUAUCGCAGGAGAGUAUUCAGUUUAGUUUUCAGAUCGACGAGAAGUAUGUCGUCGCAGAAUCGAAAUUGAAGUGAGAGUUUUACACAAUUGAAAUACACAAAUGCUUUUAAGAAUAAUAAGUCAAGUGUGAGUUGGAGUUCCGCAUUAGUUAUAAAUGUGGAAAUUUGAUCAUUUAUAAGUGGGAGAAUCCACACACAUAUCACCUUAAGGUUUUUGGUGAAUAUGUGGUGUCUCUCUCACUUGUGUUUUGCUCUUAGUCCAAUGUUGAUGCUCCUUCUCAUGACCCAACAAAUGGUAUUAGAGUCUAUGGGGAUAUGCAUUCAUUAUCUUGUUGUAAAAAAAACAUGGGUUGAGAGACACCCUAUUUAUACAAGUACUGAGUCACUUUGGACCUCAAAAACCUUAUCAUGACAUCAGGUCACUUUUCAGAUCUCUGAUUAAACCCUGAUUUUUUACGAAAAAAUGGUGUUAACGGAUAUGCAUAUCCGAAAAAUUCUUGGAUCAUUUUUUUCAAUAUGUAUGAGGUUUAUUCGGAUAUACAUAUCCGAAAUUUACCCUGAAGCAGAAUCAAACUAGAACUUGUGUCUGCAAAAACAAAAAAUGCAAACCAUAAAAUUUGUAAAAUGAAAAAGUCGACAUUAACAUCGUCAUUGUUGAAUAAAUAUUACUAAAUUGUUAAUUGAUAAACCAUCCUAAUGAAAGCGCUAUUUAAAUGACUUCAAAAAACUUUUCAGAGAUGUAUCUGCAAAUUCACCCCAGAAAUCUUUCUUCGCAUAUGUAUCUCUGAACUAAAUUUUAACAAAAACUUGAAUUUGAUAAGUUCGAAUAUGCAUCUUCGAAAAAGUAUAGAGUCAUUUUUGAAUUUUCAAAGGUGCGGCCCACACUUCAUAAAAGUGAAAAAAGAAAUUGCGAAAUAUAUUUUGUUUACAUCAAAGGUAGAGAAAGUUAAUUCCAAGUUUGUUUAACUAUUUAUCCUCCAAAAGAAAUGGCCCAGUUGACAUAACUAUUCUAAAAGGGAUUUACGGAAAUUGGGUUUUCUUGAAAUUCAGUGGUUUUAAGUUAAGUGGUUUUUAAAACAAGUGAAUUUGCAAUGGUAUCAAUCAUCCAUAUCAGUAUUAGCACCGUGAAACAUGUUAACUCAUAAUGCUGCUUAUUCUCAUGAGAUUAAAUCCAUAUCUGUACUAGUACUUUGUUAUGCAUCCAUACAUGUUUUGUUUAUGAUGGCAUGGAAAUAGUCACUUCUUCCAAAACAAAUCAUAUGGUACAAUAACAUAAAUUUUGGACACUACAUUUCAUAUAAAACAAUGAAUUGCAACCGUCUGUAUUUACUAGUACUAGUUUCAUGAUUCCAACUACAAGUUUUCACCAUCAUCACUACUGUCAACUGAAGAUAAACUACAAAAUUUUGAGUGGGUAAGCAACAUGCCAAAUCUUCGCCACCUAGACUGGACAACUAAAGAAGUUUCAGUCCACCUGUUACCUCGUCUACCACUUCAACAGGUCCUGCACAUGAAUAUCAUGUUAAAAUCGAACUAUCUUGAGCUAUAUAAAAAGAAAAGGAAAAGCUAAACUGGCAUCGGAAAAAAAUGGUCAUUGUAUUAGAGAAGAGUAUUACCGAGAAUCGCCAUCACCGUUCUGGAAUCUAGAAGGAAAAAAAAACUAUCAUAAGCAUUAAAUAUAAACUAACAUUAUACCGGACAAAAAUAGAAUAUGUAACAAAAGAAGGUUAUUCAUUCUGAGUACUUUUUAAAAUGUAAAUCCACCUAUAUUAUUUCAGACACAGUUAUAAAGUCCAAAGGAACCAACUGCACAUCUCUUUUCUUCAGAAUACAAGGAUGAACCAGCAUUUUCAAGCAUGGAUUUCAUUAUUAGGGGAUUGCUUGAAAACUAUCUCUAGUUUCAGUUCUAGUUGUACUGGCUUCUACAGACACAGUUUAAUUGAUAUAUCCAGACAAUUAUAGUACUUGAAUAUUUACAUCAACUAUCAAGUGUUAGACGUUAAUAAUUUUUUCAUAUUUCCGUUAGGAAGAUAAAGAACACAAACACAGGUAAAAGUUCCAAUUAUAUGGCAAAACACUACACAUCAGUCAGAUAACAAUGGAAUAAGAGUAGUUUGAAAUACUUACUCGGUGCAAUCUGUGUUCGCCCCGCAUCAAUUGUGAUAUGAGUAGGUAACUUCAGAGAUUUAGCCCUUUCCUAACACAUCAAAUGACAAUUUCACUAAAUCAAAAUCUAUCUUAUAGAUAGGAGAGUCAUACAUAAUGCAUUUGACUUAAAAUUUAAGAUAGUUCGGAAGAUAAACAUGUAAGAACCUGAUUUGGAGAAAUUGAUGCGGAUGGAAUGAGAAGACAUUUAUUUGUAGACAAAGAUGAUACCAAUCAUAAAUCAAAUAUAGUUUAUAUAUUAUCUGCUAUUUGAGAUUUUGAUGAUAUGCUGAAUGCAUUAUAAAACUUGUUUCUGCUAUUCUUUUUGUUAAAAUAAAAGACCUGGUGAUUUACACCCUCAUAGAUUACUACAAUUUCUAACUAGGCUUAUUAAACCUUUCAUAGGAGUUACUUUAAUAAUAAUAAAUGACAUAUCUAACUUACAAGUUUAACAAACCGGAUGCAAUCCAAGUAUUAUUAGAAUAACAUAUAAGAAAUAUAAAAUGCUCAUUUACUUUGAGUUCAAUGUUGUAACACAAGCUAUGAACACUUCAGCUUUUAGGGUGGCCAAUUUUUUUAUGCUAUCGAUACCUCUCUCCCAGACCAUUCAUUGUUUAUAACAUGAUUUACAAACUCUUAUCCAAAGCUUUCAUAUCUGUAACUUCUUUUGUACUUUUCCAUACAAUUUAGUACAAACUAAAGAUAAUUCAAUUAAUCUUUUCAGCCUAACAAAUUAAAAGGAUAUUUUUCUUUAAAAUUGGGCAUUUUUUUAAAUCAAAAUUUUUCCGUUGAAUACUUUUCACCACUUCCUCUCCCUUCCCAAUCAUCAUAUACAGCCCGAAUUAUAAACUGUUACUAUAGAGACCUUUCACUUCAUUUAUGUUAACUAGCAAUCCCAGACACCAAACUUUGCUUUUUAAUAUAUAUAAGCCACAGUAUUCUUUUGGACAGCUUUAAAACCUAUAUGAUUGCAAUUGUCGGUAAGCAUAUAGGUGCAUUUUCUAAGUUUGAAGUUUGCAGAUAAGGUUUUCACAGUUAAGCCCAAGUUUCAUGCCUCGCACCUCAACGAAAGCAUCCCUUUCCUAGUCCUCCUUUUCAUUUGUUGUCAUAAUCACAAUCAAUAACUGACCAAAGUAUAGUGAGCAGGUAUCCAGUAAAAACGUAGAAAAAUUCAAAGAGAACUUAGCUAAUGUAGCACAAGAUUUCCCUAAGAAUCAAACAAUACAUACUUGCAAAGCCAGCAUAUCUUCUUCACUUUCAAUUUUGACAACAACCUUGGGCUGCGCAGACAUCUCCCACCUGCACAUUCGCAUUGAAAACUGAGAAUGAAGUUACACAAUUCAAGAUGACCAAAAGCUCAACCAGUGACAGUACCUAUUUAAAGCCUUUGGAGCUCGAUAAAGAACCUUUUUGUAGAGACCCAACGUUGCAUGACUACAAAAAGAAAAAGAGACAGAAAACUGAGCUAGAACCAUUAAACGUGUUUUUUGCAAUAUAAAAAAUAAAUAAGCAACGAAAAAACAAAAAUAGGAGCAAUAAAUAUGUCCACCCUUCACAUGGAUGAGGGAUCUCUAUGCCAGGAUGCUUCUGCAACAAACUAGAGAAAUAGAGAGUUUUAUUACCCUAAUGUUCACACUCUAAGCAAUAGUAAUCUAUUUGGAAGGUACUCACAGUUUCAAACAAACAGCCGCUGAUUGGAUUGGCUUAUUCAAACUUAAUUACAGCAAUAACUACCUAUGAUGCUAGUUGAGAGAGCAUAUAGAAACAACUUAGGAUUAUUUUCACAAGUUAUCCCGGAUAGCUUAUACAAACAGCUUAUAAGUAAGUUAUAGCUUAUAUAAAAACAUUUAGGCUUUAUUCUAUAUUUCAUCAUAAAAAACUUAUACAUAAGCACUUAUAUGAUAAACACUUAGCUAAGUUGUUUAACCAAACAAAACCAAAGUAACAUUAGCAAAGAUUACAUACCUGCAUUGAGCUGCAAUUUUUCCUUUACCCAUUUUAAGAUCAUUUCGAACAACGAGUAUCUACAAAAAAAUAAUAAUAAUAAUAAUUUUUAGACAACCCAUCAAAAUAAAAUUAGUAGGUUAGAAAAAAAAUAAUUUUUUUUUGUGAUUUACCAUCUUAAAAUCCUCGAGAAUUUCCGCGAGCUGUUCAACCUCAAGUGAGUCUUUGAUUUUGGACUUACUAUUCUUCUUCUGCUUACUGUUAUUGUUGUGAUUGAGAAGUGAAUCAUCUUUCUCUUUAAGGGAUGAAAAUCUAUUCGAGAAAAAGAAACGAUGGGGAUAGUGAGAACCAAUGAAGUAGCCGAAAGCGAGAUAACCGGCGCCGACCAAAAUUGCACUCAACCAUGAUACUUCCAUUUCAAUCACUUGAGAAGAUGAAGAUCACGGUUGGGAUUUUAGGGUUCUGAAAAGGGGAUUUUAGUAAUUAAUAAAAUAAAGUAAAAACACACUUUACUUUCGGCAACAACAACAACAACAACACCGAAUGAAUUAACUCUUUGAAAACUUCUACUUACACCCUUAUAAACCUAAUUACUAGCUAUUUAAUUAAUAGAAUGCCAAAAGGACUCCUAGGAUGUCACAAACUAAAAAACAAAACAAUAAUUUUAAAUUUGCAAGAUGUUUUUACGGGAUAAAAAAACUAAAUUCUUAAAAAUAAAUAAAUUGUGGCUAAGGAUGUAACUCAAUUUUAGAAAAGAGGGAAAGUGGAUUAAGAUAUCAACUUUAAAAGAUAUCUUGAAUUUAGUUAUGAGAUCAAUAUUUUGAUUGUCUUUGUAGAGGUAGGGAUAACUCUAUACAUGUUGUUUUCGGUUUAAGAUAUCUUAAAUAUUCGAGAUCAAUAUUGCAUGUUUAGGAUAUUUAUUCAAGGGAUUCUUGAUGAGCUUGAUUCGAAAGAAGAGUCUAUGUAGUAUGAUGAGUUAAUAACUUUCAUAUCUUUGACUAAUGAGAGUCUUUCGUGAAUGAUCCAAAGUUCUACUUAGAGGAUAUUUGUAUGGAUUGGUAUGAAACGAGAGAACUUGCAUUGUCAGGUCCCAUAAUAGUUGCAAAAGAUAUCACUUAAGUCAAUACGGUUUGGUGUGUCAUUUUAACUUCCAUCAACAUUAAUAAUAGUGCAUGAGAAGUUGUGGAAAUUGCACAUUUUGCUUCGUUAAAGUUUUACUAAACCAAGUAUGAAAGGAGUGAAGGAGAAUAGCGAUCCAAAAUGCAACGGAAAUUAAAAAAUUCUCCUUCAGUGAUCCUUACGAAUGGGCAUGAUCAGUGAUAGAAUCGUUACCUCUUGUGGCGAUUGAAACCCUUGAUGCAGAUCGAAUGAGUGAUCAUGAACGUUGAAUGGUGACAACGCCUCUACUCAGUCCACACGAACGAAUUCCUUCAGUCUCAGUGUUAGCUGCUACGAAUGAAGGCUUUGAGUGAAAGAAAGAGAGAAACAAAAUUUUCAUCUGAUUCAAUGUUUCUGCACAAGGGUUCUAUUUAUAGAACCACUUAUGUGGGUUGUAAGCUAAAAUGUCAACUUAAAUGUAUGUGGCUCAUAUCUUAUGAUAUACCAAAAUCACUUAAGCGCGUGGUACCUUACCAUAUUUCGUAUUCUACUUAAGUGCAUUGUACCUUACGAUGUUCUACAAUUCACUUAAGUGCAUCGUACCUUACGGUGUUCCUUAUUUACUCUAUCUCUCAUCAAUCUGUCCUUUUGUGUGUGACCCUAUAGGUUUUCGCGGCAUUGGCGAUUAUAUUAAAUCACGCAUUUAACAUAAUAAAUAGUGAGCAGUAUUUAGCAACACAUCACUGCUACCCAAGACACGAAAAUGUCAUGUGAUCUGACAAAUCUUUUUGUGAUAAUAGUUAUGUGUGUAAUUACCCUUUUGCACUUAUGUCUAUAUUGAACACAAGGCAUAGACCGUGUCAUCCUUGUCCAGUUCAAUAUUGGGCCCUUAGACAUUCAUCCUGUUAUGCAGGAUGGGCAAAUUCCAUCUAGGUCACUCAUGUCCUUCAACAUGCUUCAUUGAGUACCCAUCAACUGUCUUUAUGUUCAUCCAAUUACGAACAAUGUUUGAUCAGCAAUAAAGCACUCGACUCUACAUCUAGGGUCCAUAGUGGUUUCAGGUCGAAGGGUGGUAUACACCACUAUCACCAUGAGAAUAACUUAUGACACUUUGCAUAACAUUCUAUUAGUAUUUCAUAGCGGGACAAUCUAGUAUAAUAUUACUCAUAAUAUUCAUACUAUGUUUAGACUUGAUAACUCCUAUCCAUGAUCCAUAAGAUGUGAUCAUCAGUUCUAUUAUAACAUAAUAAUCUUUAAUGCUUUAAUAUUAUCCACUUUCACAAUAAAACUCAACUACGGAUACUUUAAGAAUAGUUGUUCUUAUGUUUAUGGGAAUUUCAUUGAUUAAGUCAACUUGAUACAUUAAAACAGGACUAGUGAUAUCUUAGGACGUUUAUUAAACAACUAUUAAAGAAAAGCUUUUUAUAUUAAUAAAUAAUUCGAUACAAGUACCAAAAAGUAUUGGGCCUCUAGGUGCAUUACACCAACAAUAUCCACGUAGCACUAGAGUCAUCAGGCAUACCUAAUGCCCAUAGGAUCUUAGUAUGCCCAUCAUGGCUUCUGUGCGCCAAAGGGCUUUGUCAGUGGGGUCAGCAAUAUUGUUCAAGUGUAGUUACUCUGCAUAUUUUCCAUUCACCUCUAUCUUUUAUCUCUCGAUGGAGGUUGAUAACUCCUAAGUAUGUUGUUUGGAUCGUUGGUUGAGAUUUUAGUGGCUCCUAGCUGUGCGAUAGGCACCAUUGUUAUCACAAUAGAGACCAAGUCCAUAAUGCUAGGACUAUGACAAGUUCACUAAUGAACUUUUGAUUCAAACAACGUUUCUUUGCUGCAUUGAGGCAAGUUAAUAUACUCGGCCCGUUGUAAAAUUAGCAACUGUAUGUUGCUUUAACGUUUUUCCAGCUCACAGCGCCACCGUUUUAAGCAAAACACAUAACCAGAUUGCAAUCUAAAGUCAUCCUUAUCUGUCUGGAAGUAGUCGGCCUGUAUCCAAUUACAGUCAGCUCUUCUUGACCUUCCAUUAUAUCAAGAAUGAGUUCCUUAGUCCUUCUAAUAUUAAGGAUAUUCUUGAAGCUACCGUAAGCAUCCCGGGAUCAGAUUGGUUACUACUCGUUGCACUAAAGCAUACGAGACAUCUGAUCGAGUACAUAAUAUGGCAUACAUUGAUAGAUUCUAUUGCAGAUACAUAUGGAAUCUUAUUCAUGUAUCCCUUUCUUCUAGUGAAGGUAUUUGUUUUUGAUAGACACGGGCCAUGUUGCAUAGGUAUUGAAUCCUUUUCGUUGGGUCAUGCAUAUUAAGCAUUCAGCACUUUGUUAUGUAUGUACUAUGACUUAGGCCAAAAUUUUGUGAUCUAUCUCUAUAGAUUUUGAUUCCUAAUAUUAGGCUGCUUCCCAGGUCCUUCAGUAGAAAAGGCAUUUUCCCCAACCAAGACUUUACUUGUUGCAGGGUAGGGACUCAUUUCCCAAUGAGUAAUAUGUCAUCGUACAUAUAAUACCAGGAAGACGAUCAUGCUCCCACUAACCUUCUUUAGCACCAAAGGCUCAUCUUCAUCGUGAUGAAUCCAUAUCGUUUUAUAUUCAUCAAAACGAAGAUUCCAGCUUCUGGAAAGCUUGCGUUCAAUCCAUAGAUUGAUCUUUGUACUUAGUAUUAUCUGAGGUCUGGUUGUCAAAUCGUUCAGGUUUAUGUGCAGUACACACUCCUUCAAACAAGUUCCCUAGGGAAAGCAGUUUGACAUCCACUACCAUAUUUCAUAAUCAUAUAUGCAGCGAUAGCAAGUAAAAUCCGAAUAGAUUUUAAAGCAUGCAACUGGUGAAAGGUUGUCAUCAUAUUCAAACCCAUGAAGUUUGUUUAUAUCCUUGCAACCAGUCUUGCUUAUAGGUAUGUGACUUACCUGUCUAUGUUGUCUUUCUUUUUGAAGACCCACUGUGCAUCCGUUAGGGUUAACUCCUCAUGGAGGAUCUACCAAGUGUCCAAACCUUGGUUUGUGUACAUGGAAUCCAUUCAAAUUUCAGUUGGUUCUAGCCACCUCUCGGACUCGGGACCAAUUAUAGGCCUCUUGGUUAGUGUUGUCCCCUAAAUUUCCCCUCCUAUUUCUCACCGUAUUGUAAUCUAAUCACUUGAGUCAAGAGUGACUUGCAUACAUCCAUAACUCAUCCACAUGCAUCAUUCCUUAUGAUUUCAAAAGAAAGUGGCCCAUAUAGCUACGGGCUCACACAGGUAUCAAAGUCCAAAGGCAUGGGUUGAUCACAUCAUCGAGCAUAAGGAAUGUGAAACCCUAAUGAGGGUAGUGAAAAGACUUGAUUCAACAAAGGUGGAACCAAUCCUUCUGGGGUCCUUUAAAGCUCUAAUUCUCAAGAACAUGAUCUCAUGAAGCUUCCCUAACCCUUGUCGUGGGGUCUUCAAAACCCUGAUGUAAGGAUUUGAUGAUUGAAACACUUAUGUUCGGAUAAUAGCAAGGGACUUGCUUUAGGGGGUAAAGGNNNNNNNNNNNNNNNNNNNNNNNNNNNNNNNNNNNNNNNNNNNNNNNNNNNNNNNNNNNNNNNNNNNNNNNNNNNNNNNNNNNNNNNNNNNNNNNNNNNNGGGGGGGUGAAUUAGGUGGUUAAAAAUUCUUCGAUCUUGUUUCCGGUUUUUGGUUAUUUUUCGUUUAAGUGCGGAAAAAUAAAUUGCGGAAAGUAAAAAGACACCGGAAUUUAUAGUGGUUCCCUUCACAAUCCGAAGGUACAUCCACUCCCCUUUCGACUCGAAAGAGAUUUCACUAUAGUUAGAAUUAUUGUACAGCCUACUCACACCAAUGGUGAUGCUUACUAUCUAACCUAUAGAUAAUCAAGUGUGCAAGAACAAUCCUCUUGCAACACCAACCCUUGUGUCCAACAAUCCUGGAUCACAAGUCAAACAGAAAUAAAUCUUUUUGAUGAUUUGAAUAAAGUGUAGCACUAUCAAUCUUCUCUUGAUUGAUCUUCUCCUUAGAUAAAUAAUUCACUCAAUGAAUAAUAUAUAAGUGUUCAACAAUAAAUGGAAUGAGAUGAAACAAGAAUGUUCAAAAGUUUCUUCUCAAAAUUUUGGUUAUGAACACUUUUAUGAAAUAUUGAAAAUAUGAAAGAGUGAUUAUCUUAAGUUUUUAUGAAAGUUCUUGGAGGUGAAUUUUCAUUUAAAAAUUCAAGAAUUUAUAUUGACAAAACACCUUUUCAAAGAGGUAUAAUUUUCUUUAUAAAAAAAAUGAAAAGGUAUAAGUUUUUGAAAAACAUUUUUCACUGAAACGAACAGUGUUAACCGGUUAACGCGUAUAACGUUAACUAACGAAGUUCAAAAACAGGGCUGUUAACCGGUUAACCCAUAUGGUUAACCGGUUAACACUGUUGAAAUGCAGAAAAAAACUUUAAGAAAAUGUGUCUUUCAUUUCAACAUGUUAACAAAUGGUUCGAUUUAAAAAUGGAAAUGCAAAAUAUGAUUGUUGAACACUUGUAUACUAAUCUAAGAGUGAAUUAGAUAUACCUUAGAAGUGAAUCAACAAACUUGCACAAGUGUUGGCUUGAAAAAAGAAGCUUGAUCAAAAUGUUGCUUAUGCAUAUGUGGCUUGAUCAAUUUGAUGCUUGAAUUCUCUUGAAGCUCUUCUCUUUUUGCAUUGAUACAUGUUGUCUUCAUCAAAGUUCUUUUGGAUUGAAGCAUGCUUCUACAAGAUUCACAUUUAGACUCGAAGAAUACCGUUCAAUAUACAUAAAUGCUAAAAUGUCAUAGUUUUGACAUCAUACAAAACAUUUAUAAUAUGAAGGUGCACUCACAUACUCCCCUUUUUUGAUGAUGGCAAAACUUACGACAAUGCAUUUGAUGUCUUCAUAAAGGCUCCCCCUGAAUGUGUGUAUCAUAGCUUGCAUCUGUUUUUCCCCUUUGAAAUAACUGAUAUUGAUGUCAAAACUUCUCCACAUAUCUUGAUUUGAUUCACCAGUUUGGUAACCCUAGUGAAAAAAUCAGUUAUGCUUUCAUUGCCUUCCGUCCGAAGCAAUUCAUAUGUUCUUUUGUGAGUUUGUAACUUCACUUAUUUCACAUUUUCUGCGUCUUCAAACGAUUUUUCAAUAAUUUUCCAUGUUUUUUUCGAUGGUUCAACAUCACUAACCUUUUCGACACUGUCUGCAUCUACGCAUUGAUGGAUCAUAACGAGAGCUUUAUAACUUUUUUCUUCAAUUCUCUGUGUCCAACAUUUUCUUCAUCUGUCGCGUUUGCUGCAAACUGCGCCAAACCCUCCUUCACAAGAUCCCAAAGAUCUCUAUAGCAAAAAAUAACAUUUACCUGCAUGCACCAAUUCUCAUAAUUUUGAUUCUUCAGAAUUGGGAGACUCGCCGGAAAAUGUGCAUUCAGAUGAUUCAUCACCAUCGUGUUUUGCUUCCCACGAAUCGCUCAAUCAGUGCUCUAGACACCAGAUGUUGGAAAUUCACCAAUUCCCCUUCAAGAAAUUCACCAAAAACUAUGGAGAAUUUCGAACUAAAUCUUGUUGAACAAGAAUCAAUCUUUUUGAUUGAUUACUCAUUUUAUUCUUCACUUUUUACUCGAGUGAAUCAACCACACUAGGUUGCGAGAUUUCGUUGCAUAAUGGUAAUGAAAAGAAGAAAAAUUGAAUUGGAGAAGAAAGAGAGAUUAUGGUUUUCGAAUAAGGAAGAAGAAGAAAUUUCUGCAAAAUAACUCUCUGCUCUCAAACUGAGAUUUUAUUUCUUUGCAACUGCAAAUAUGUGCUCAAUUACAAUCAAUAAGAGUUACUACUUAUUUAUAGAUUUUGGGCUUGCUUGCUUCUAAAGCAAAACCCAAAUACCUACUAAUGUUGCUAAUAUUGCAAAGUUAGACAUACAUAAAAAUCCAUGCUGAAGCUAACUCCUCAACACUUCAACACAUAAGUGUUUUGAUAGCAACAAACUUCGACAUCAUAAAUUACAUUCUCAAUAUUUUUUAUCAAUUGAACUAGAAUUUACUGAAACAUAGCUAUGUUUUAUUUAAGGAGAAAUGCAUCUACAUAUAUUUAAGAAAUCAAUUUAUUUUAAAGUAAAAAUAAAUAUCAAAUCUUAGUUUUCACAACACAAGUAUACACCUAUCAUAUAAAGAAAUGGAUUAUGCAUUUUAAUUUUCAAAACAUAUUUCUUUAUUAAAAAGCUAGCACAAGUAAUAAUGGAGAUAGGGGGUGUACUUUUGAAAGAAAAAAGAAGGAAGAUGUAUUAGUAAAAGCAAAUCCUAUGUUUUGGUGUACUAGAAAAAAUGGUUCAGCCCAAACGUAUGUUUUUGUCCGAAAAACAACAACAUCGAGAUUUGCCGUCAAGGGUGGCGAUGACGGCGAUGAUUCCUUAAGCUCUUGGCUUUCAAAGGUUCCAUCUUUUACUCUUUUUCAUAUCUGAAUCGUUAAUACAAACCCUAGGUACAACGGUUAUGUGUUUUGAAAAGUGAAAAUGUUUUUUUUACUAAUUGAGGUUUCAAAGCGAUAAUACUUACUGAUAUUCUUUCAAUGGAAUCACAUUAUGUUCAUUUUGCUAAAGUUUUAGGGUUUUUUAUUGUGUGAAUUCUAACUCACCUAGAAGCCACUUCAUAACUGAUUUUGAUUUUUGAGCCUCUUUUUUAUCUGGCAGAACAUUUCCAGCAUCUAAAGUUAUUGUGCUGAAAUCAUGUGUGAUUGUCAAUAAGGAUUUCCUAUUCCUCAAAUCAGAUGGCUUUUUUGUUUCAGAAAUUUCAAGAGGUAUCUUCUUAUCUUAUGCUUUACUUCAAAAGUAGUUACUUAUUUGCAGUGAUUAUAGCAAGACAUGUUUAAGUUAUCAAUAUUCAUAUGUUUAAAAUUGAAAAGACUUAGAAACGACAACAGUUUUAUAAGUAGAAUCGUUGUAAUAGAAGAAAAUAAUGUUUUACUUUUACCGAUUGUCCGUGGUUUUAGGCUAAUUUAAAGUUCAGUUUUUAUCUGUUGUGCAUCCUGUGAAGUUUAUUACAAAAGUCUUGAUUUUGAUUUGUUUUCAGGCUGUGAAAACCCUUGCCAAAAGUCCCACUUUUGCUUUUGCUAGGGAUCCAAGACGACUACAGUUUGAAGUCGAUCUUAAUCGUUUGUUCCUCUAUACAAGGUAAGUGUUUUUUUUGUCGUCUGCAUUUAAAAUUCAAGGGUGCAUUAAACUAGUUAUACAUUGCUAAUUAUUACUCCCUCUGUGCCAAAACUCUAGUUGUUUAAGCAUUUUAGUUUUAUUUCAAAACUUUGUGUGUUUUAGAAACCCCAAGAUAUAUUUGACAUUUUUCUUCCAAAUAUACUCCUAAAUGUUGUUUACAAUAUUAUUUAUAAAUUUAUAAUGAGAUAUUUAUAGGUAUUUGUGAAGCAUUUAACUAGUACGAUAUUGACAUUUUGAUACUUAUAUACACACAUCAAUUAUAUGAUUCCUUAAGCUAUAAGCAAAUACCUUAAACAACUCAAGUUUUGGAAUGGAGGGAGUACCGACAAUGGUUGCAUACAAAAUGCCUGUUUUACACCCUCUACUUCUUGUGACCUAUUGUUAAUGUAUAGAAAUAGACUUGUCCUAGAUAGUGACCCUUCUAAGGAUACUACUAGUGAGAAAAUACUUGUUUCCUUCUGUUUAUUUAAUACAGCUUUUCUAAAGACUGUUAAUAAUAUUGGAAAGAGAUCCUGAAUGAUAGGAUUAUGCUGAUUAUGAUGUAAUCAGUAAAGUAAACAAAAUAUAAUAAAACAAUUAAGAAACAAAAUAAAAUCUGAUUAGGCUGCCGCUUUCUUUCUCUAUUAUUGCCACCUACAAAAGCAUCCACAUCAUCACUAUCUUAUCGGCUUUGAGCUUGUCCUCAAACCCUGGAUAAGCUUGUUGGAAGUGGUAUACCGGUUUCCAAAUGGCAUUUUCUUGAGGAUAUCCAGCUCAAUGCUCUUACAGCUCCUGUUUCCUGCUAUUGGUCCUACUGCAAAGAAUAGCAUGAGGAGUGGGUAAGGCUUUGCCGUUGUCAUGUAUGUGUGAUAAAUUUGGUAAUUCUCCUACAGCAGCUGGUUGGGAUCCUUCAUGCUCUUUAAGGAGAGGUGCAUCAAACACAUUCUGUUUUCUAUUGUCUGCAAGUAGCUAAAGCUUGUACACAAUAGAUCGUACGUUGGCUUGACACUUGACACUGAAAGGAAUAAAAUACUUUUGGAAGAAGUUUGAUGUUUUUGUUUAGCCAUUGUCGACUGGCAAUAUGAUUGAAAUUGUAGCUAUACCGAACCCCUAUCCGGUAAACUCAAUAUUGAAAAUAAUAAGUAGAAGUUGUUCUAUUUUAUUCCUCAGCCAAAAGCUGGCUUAUAUAGUGAGAAUAUAAUUAAUACAAUUAAUUCUCUCCUUAACGGAGAAUAAAGGUAAAUGAAUGACAAUAAACGGAAACAAUAAAAACGGAGAAACAAAAUAUUUUCCAACACCCCUCUUCAAGUUGGUGCAUAUAUAUCUAUCACGCCCAAUUUGUUUAUCAAAUGUUCGAAGGUAGGUCUUGUCAAACUUUUGGUCAGGAUAUCCGCAGUUUGCUGAUUUGAAGUAACGAAAGGUAGACAUAUGAUUCCAACAUCUAACUUCUUUAUGAAGUGUCGAUCAUUCUCAAUAUGCUUGGUUCUGUCAUGUUGAACUGGGUUAUGAGCUAUGCUAAUAGCAACUUUACUGUCAGAGUAUAAUUUCAAUGGAAGCUCAAUUUUCAUCUUAAGUCCUUUUAAGACUCUAAGGAUCCAUAAUCCUUCACAAAUACCUUGAGACAUAGCUCUAAACUCGACUUCUACAUUACUUCCUUGCUACAACUCCUUGUUUCUUGCUCCUCCAUGUGACAAGAUUACCCCAAACAUAGGUACAAUAUCCAGAAGUUGAUAUUCUAUCUGUGACUGAACCUGCGCAAUCAAUAUCGGUGAAGGUAGACACAUUUUUUUCACUAGUCUUCUUAAAAAAUAAGUCUUUUCCAAGAUUUCCCUUCAAGAUGUUCCUCUAAAGGAGAAUGUAUAAACUGACUUUCUACACUCACCGAGAAAGCAAUAUCAGGACGAGUGUGUGACAAAUAAAUCAGUUUAUCAAUCUUUGAUAUCUUUCAGUAUCAACAAGAACAUUACCUUCUCCCUAAAGUUUAACAUUAGGAUCCAUAAGGGUAUCUGCAGGACGACAUCCACUCAUUCCUGUUUCUUUCAAUAAGUCUAGAAUGUAUUUUUGUUAUGAAACCACAAUACCAUUCUUUGACCGAACAACCUUGAUACCUAGAAAAUAUCUCAUGAAUCCCAAGUCCUUGAUUUCAAAGUCUACUGCCAAUUUCUCUUUUACUCUUGCCAUUUCUGCUGUAUCGUCUUCAGUAAGGACAAUAUCAUCAACAUAAACAAUCAGGGCAACAUUUUUCCCAUCGCGGGAGAACUUUGUGAACAGGGCGUGGUCAACCUGUCCUUGGAUGUACCCUUGUUUCUUCAUGGAUUGAGUGAGUUUUUCAAACCAGGCUCUAGGAGACUGUUGUAAUCCAUACAAAGACUUAUUUAAUUUGUAUACAUUUGAUCCAACUUUGAUUUCAAAGUCAGGAGGAAUGUUCAUAUAUACUUCUUCUAGAUCGCCAUUAAGAAAGAUAUUCUUAACAUCUAAAUGAUGUAGAGGGACAAAUUCAGGUUAACAGCAAGAGAUAAAAGAAUUCUGACAGUGUUCAAUUUUGCAACAUGUGCAAAUGUGUUUUAGUAGUCUAUACCAUAGGUCUGAGUAAAGUCUUUAGCCACCAAGCGAGCCUUAUAUCUUUCAAUUGACUCAUCUGAAAUAUACUUCACAGUAAACACCCAUUUGCAUCCAACUGUCUUCUUGUCAUGUCUUCUUGCUAUCUGGUAGCGUCGUAAGACUCAAAGUUUUGUUCUUUUCAAGAGCUUUCAUCUCCUCAAGUACAAUUUCCCUCUACUUUGAAAUUUCUAGAGCAACCUGUACAUAUUUUGGAAUUUCUACACUAGACAAUUUUGAGGUUAAGGUAGACAUAUAUGAAGACAAAUUUAAAUAUGAUAUAAAAUUGGACAUAGGGUGUUUAGUGCAAGAUCUAACAGAUUUUCUAAUGGCAACAUGAUCAUCUAUAUCAGGAUACAAAAUAUGACUCUCAGAAACAGAGAUAGACUUAACUUUCCUUUUCUUAGGAGGUUGAUCAUUCUCCGAUUCAGAUUCCUGGCAGUUUUAAGAUGUGGACUCGUCCCUUCCUUUGUGGUAUUUUUUCACAAAAGCCUUCCAUUUCCAAGUCAUGUUACCUAAUUCAAAUCUGUUUUCUUGAAGUGACUCAUUAUUUUGUGGCAUUUCAAUUAGAUCAUCAUUAUCAUCGUUUUUAGGAUUCUCAUUGUUUUCUACAAGAGAAAAUAUAGGCUCACAUUCACAAAAUUCCUUACUCAUAACAGAAGUAGGAUCAGAUAAAGAAUUAUGACAAUUUUUUGUUGGUGCAGAUGUAAAAGUCUCAGAAUUUUGUGGUAUAGGCAAAGAUAAAUUAUUUAAAAAAUGCAUGUCCUCGAUUUGAAAUUAGUCUUCAUUUAUAUCCCCCUUGAAGAUAAGUGUCAUCAAAAAAAGGUUUAUUUUCAAAGAAUGUAACGUCCAUAGUGACAAUUUUUUUUUUGUUUUUUGGAUCUAAACAUUUAUAUCCUUUUUGUGUUGGGGAGUAUCCAACAAAAACACAUUUUAUAGCACGCGAUUCAAAUUUUUCAAUAUUUUUAUGUUCAUGAACAAAGUCUGUGCAACCAAAGAUUUUUAAUGUCAUAUCAGUUAAAACACGAGUAGUAAGAAAACAUUCUUUGAAGACAUUAAUUGGAGUUUAAAAAUUGAGAAUUUUAGAGGGCAUUCUAUUUAAUUACGCAGCUGUUAAAACAGUUUCGUCCCACAAAUAAUUUGAUACUUUAUCUGAAAAAAGUAGAGCUCUAGCAACCUCCAAUAAAUGUAUUUUUCCUUUUAGCUACUCCAUUUUGUUGAGAAGUAUUAGGACAUGAACUUGGAUGUACAAUCUCAUUUUUAAAAAAAAAAUCAUCUAGGAUAAUGUUAAAAUAUUCUUUGCCAUUAUCACUUCUAAAGAUUUGGAUAUUUGUUUGAAAAUGGUUAUGCGCCAUUGUAAAAAAAUUCUUUACAGCCUGACAAACAUCUGAUUUUCCCUUUAGCAAAUACACCUAACAUACUCUUGUAUGAUCAUUUGUAAAUGUGAUAAACCAUUUUUUGAGAGCGAGUGUACUUGUAUGGUUAGGGCCCCAAACAUCACUGUGAAUAAUAGAAAAAAGUUUUUAUGAUUUAUAAGGUUGUAUUGAAAAUUGGGAACGAUGAUGCUUUGCAAACUCACAUGCUUCACAUUUAACCGAAGAAAAGUUCUUAUUAUGAAAUAACUUAGGAAACAAGUGUUUUAAGUAACGAAAACUAGAAUGACCUGAUCUUAAAUAUCAUACCAUAAUGUUGUCAUCUUUAUUAUUCAUGUUAAGAAAUGUGGUUGAAUCUAACUCAAUUCUACAAAACCGGUUGGUAGAGUGAGGAUUACCCCCACUUAUAAACACAUGUUCAAGUCAUAUAUUAUCCGAUGUGGUACUCUUAACACCCCCUCACGCUCAGGACUAGACAACUGGAGCGUGGAAAUAAAUUGUGGAUGACCUGAUAGCGGAAACCAUAGUAGGUGGCCCACCGGAUCUUAAACCAGACUCUGAUACCAUUGGUUGGUAGAGUGAGGAUUACCCCCACUUAUAAACACAUGUUCAAGUCAUAUAUUAUCCGAUGUGGGAUUCUGGCCUCACGCUCAGGACUAGACAACUGGAGCGUGAAAAUAAAUUGUGGAUGACCCGAUAACGGAAACCAUAGUAGGUGGUCCACCGGAUCUUAAACCAGACUCUGAUACCAUGUUAAGAAUGUGUGGUAAGUCAGUUCUUAAAUUCCUCUUGUCAGGAACACAUGGAUGUUGUUAUUCGGAUUCUGAGAUACAUCAAAUGUGCUCCAGGAAAAGGUCUAGUGUAUGAAAAUAAAUGACAUAUUCAGAUAGUUGGAUACUCCGAUGCUGAUUGGGCAGAGUCACCCAUUGAUAGACGAUUCACCUCCUGGUAUUGUGUACUUGUUAGAGGAAACCUUAUAUCCUGGAAAAGUAAGAAACAAAACAUGGUUGCAAGAUCAAGCGCCGAGGCAGAGUAUAGGGCAAUGACAAUGGCAACAUGUGAACUUAUUUGGUUAAAACAGUUGCUCAAGGAACUUCAAAUUGAAGAAGAAAGACCAAUGACAUUUAUUUGUGAUAAUCAAGCUGCAUUACACAUUGUUUCGAAUCCAGUCUUCCAUGAGAGGACCAAACAUAUUAAGAUAGACUGUUACUUUGUCAGAGAGAAAAUCGGGUCAGGUGACAUCGUCACAAACUUUGUCAACUCUAAUGAUCAAUUGGCUGACGUGCUUACAAAAUCCCCACGAAGCUCCAAAACUAAUUAUAUAUGUAACAAGCUUGGUGCAUUUGACUUAUAUGCUCAAGCUUGAGGGGGGUGUUGAUAUUUGUAAAUAUAGUGUUAAGAAUAUUUAUAUACUGAAUAGUCCCACAUCGACUAUAUCAUGUAACUAAUUGUAAUCUCUCUAUAUAUAAUAAAGUCUUCGUAGUGCUUUUCAAAAGACACGGUUUAUUCAAAUGUCUCUUAGUCUCUUGUAUUUCAACAUGUUAAAAAAUAUGAUUGGGCCUAACUCAACCCUACAAAACCGGUUGGUAGAGUGAGGAUUGCCUCAUUUAUAAAUACAUUUUCAAGCCUUAUAUUAUCUGAUGUGGGACUCUUAACACACCCUCUCAUGCUCAGGACUAGACAACUAGAGCAUGAAAAUAAAUGGUGGAUGACCCAAUAGCGAAAACCCUCACGUUCAGGGCUAGACAACUGAAGCGUGAAAAUAAAUGAUGAGUGGACUGAUAGCGGAAACCAUAGUAGGUGGCCUACCGGAUCUUAAAUCGGGCUCUGAUACCAUGUUGAAAUACAAAAGAUUAAGAGACAUUUGAAUAAACCGUGUCUUUUGAAAAACAUUACGGAGACUUUAUUAUAUAUAGAGAGAUUACAACUAAUUACAUGAUAUAGUCGAUGUGAGACUACUCGAUAUACAAAUAUUCUUAACACUAUAUUUACAAAUAUCAACAAUUCAAAACAGAAAAAGACUCGAAGUAGGAACUUAUUGUUUUUGAAGGUAGUUGUGAUGUAGAUCCAAUGUCAAGGUAGUAGAGUCCUCCACUCUCCUUAGCACUGCCAAUCAUCUUCCCUGAAUUCAAAUCCUGAAAGACACAGUGAGAUCGAUAAAAAUUAGUUUGACAAUUUAUAUCUUGGGCUAAUUUAUUGACGGACAUUAAAUUACAUGAUAAGUUUGGAACAUGAAGGACAUUUUUAAGAGUUAACAUUAGAGACAACACAAUUGACCCUUUAACUGCAAUGAUCGAAAAGGAGUCAUCUGUGAUUUUUAUUUUUUUAUUACCUGUACAUGGACUAUUUGAAGAGAACAAAAUAGAUUUAGCUGUCAUGUGAUCAGAGGCACCUGAAUCUGCUAUCCAAUUAUGAAUGAAACUUACAUUAAAAAAUGCAGAAUUAUCUUUUACUGCUAUAAAGCAAGAAGGGGUUGGAGACUCGAGGAGUUUGUACUGUCUGUGUAGUUGUUCUCAGCGCUGUGCAUACUCCUUGAAAGAUUCAUUCUCUUUCUGAGACAUGCUUUGAAGUUGAGUGCGAUUAGGAGCUAAGUCAGUAUUGUACUUAUACUGCUUAGAGAAAGCUUUUAGAAAGUUCAGCCCAAGUACGCACAUUAUUGCGUUUCAGCUGCAUAUACCACUCUAGAGAUGUCCCAGUUAAGCUAUCCUGGAAGCAGUGGAUCAUUAGCUUAUCGUCUCUAGCGUGCGCAACCAUUUUACGACAAUACAUCUUCAAGUAGCUCAAGCUUGUACACAAUAGAUCGUACGUUUGUCGGACACUGAAAGGAAUAAAAUACUUUUGGGAGAAGUUUGAUGUUUUUGUUUAGCCAUUGUCGACUGGCAAUAUGAUUGAAAUUACAGCUAUACCAAACCCCGAUCUAGUAAACUCAAUAUUGAAAAUAAUAGGUAAAAACUGUUCUAUUUUAUUCUUCAAUCAAAGGUUGUCUUGUAUAGUGAGAAUACAAUUAAUACAAUUAAUUCUCUCUUUAAUGGAGAAUAAAAAUAAAUACAUGAGAAUAAACGGAAACAAUAAAAACGGGGAAAUAAAAUAUUUUCCAACACCCCUUCUCAAAUUGGUGCAUAAAUGUCUAUCAUGCCCAACUUGUUUAUCAAAUGUUCGAAGGUAAGUCUUGUCAAACCUUUGGUCAGGAUAUCUGCAGUUUACUGACUUGAAAUCACGAAAGGUAGACAUAUGAUUCCACCAUCUAACUUCUCCUUUAUGAAGUAUUGAUCAAUCUCAAUAUGCUUGGUUCUGUCAUGUUGAACGGAUUAUGAGUUAUGCUUAUAGCAGCUUUAAUGUCGGAGUAUAAGGAUUCAUAAUCUUUCACAAAAUAGCUCUAAACUCGACUUCUGCAUUACUUCCUUGCUAAAACUCCUUGUUUCUUGCUUACAACUCCAUGUCGCAAGAUUAUCCCAAACAUAGGUACAAUAUCUAGAGAUUGAUCUUCUAUCUGUGACUGAACCUGCUCAAUCAGUAUCGGUGAAGAUAGACACAUUUCUUUCACUAGUCUUCUUAAAAAAUAAGUCUUUUUUAGGAUUUUCCUUCAAAUAUCUUAGUAUCCUAUAGACUGCCUCAAGAUGUUACUCGAAAGAAGAAUGCAUAAACUGACUUACUUCACUCACUGAGAAAGCAAUAUCAGGUCAGAUGUGUGACAAAUAAACCAGUUUACCAACCAAUCUUUGAUAUCUUCCAGUAUCAACAAGAACAUUACCUUCUCCUCAAAGUUUAACAUUAGGAUCCAUAGGGGUAUCUGCAGGACGACAUCCACUCAUUCUUGUUUCUUCCAAUAAGUCUAGAAUGUAGUACUGCUGUGAAACCACAAUACCACUUUUUGACCGAGCAACCUCGAUAGCUAGAAAAUAUAUCAUGAAUCCCAAGUCCUUGAUUUCAAAGUCUAUUGUCAAUUUCUCUUUUACUCUUGUCAUUUCUACUGUAUAGUCCUGUAAGGACAAUAUCAUCAACAUAAACAAUCAGGGCAACAACUUUUCCAUCGCGGGAGAACUUUGUGAACAAGGUGUGGUCAGCCUGUCCUUGGAUGUACCCUUGUUUCUUCGCGGACUAAGUGAAUAUUUCAAACCAGGCUCUAGGGGACUGCUUUAAACCAUACAAAGACUUAUUUAGUUUGCAUAUAUUUGAUCCAAAUUUGUUUUCAAAGUCAAGAGGAAUGUCCAUAUAUACUUCUUCUUCUAGAUCGCCAUUAAGAAAGAAAUUCGUAACAUCUAAAUGAUUUAGGGGCCAAUCCAGGUUAGCAGUAAGAGAUAAACGAAUUCUGACAGUGUUCAAUUUUGCAACAGGAGCAAAUGUCUCUGAGUAGUCUAUACCAUAGGUCUGAGUAAAGGCUUUAGCCACCAAGCGAGCCUUGUACCUUUCAAUUAACCCAUUUGAAUUAUACUUCACAGUAAACACUCAUUUGCAUUCAACUGUCAUCUUGCCAUCUGGUAGUGUUGUAACACUCCAAAUUUUGUUCUUUUCAAGAGCUUUUAUCUCCUUAAAUACAAUUUCCCUCCACUUUGGAAUUUCUAGAGCAACCUGUGCACUUUUUAGAAUUUCUACACUAGACAAUUUUGAGGUUAAGGCAGACAUAGAUGAAGACAAAUUUGAAUAUGAUAUAAAAUUGGACAUGGGGUGUUCAGUGCAAGAUCUAGAAUGUUUUCUAAUGGCAACAUGAUCAUCUAUAUCAGGAUACAAAAUAUGACUCUCAGAAACAGAGCUAGACUUAUCUUUCCUUUUCUCAGGAGGUUGAUCAUUCUCCGAUUCAGAUUUCUGGCAGUGUUGAGAUGUGGACUCGUCCCUUCAUUUGUGGUGUUUUUUCACAAAAACCUUCUCUUUCCAAGUCCUAUUGCCUAAUUCAAAUUUGUUUAAGUGACUUAUUAUUUUGUGGCAUUUCAAUUAGAUCAUCAUUAUCAUCAUUUUUAGGAUUCUCAUUAUUUUCUACAAGAGAAAAUGUAGGCUCAGGUUCACAAAGUUCCUUACUCAUAACAGGAGUAGGAUCAAAUAAAUAAUCAUGGCCAUUUUCUGUUGGUGCAGAUGUAAAUGUCUCGGAAUUGUGUUAUUGACAAAGAUAAAUUAUUUAAAAAACGCAUGUCCUCGAUUUGAAACGAGUUUUCAGUUAUAUCCCACCUUGAAGAUGAGUGUCAUCUAAAAAGGUUUAUUUUCAAAGAAUGUAACGUCCGUGUGACAAACAUUUUCUUGUUUUUUGGAUCAAAACAUUUAUAUACUUUUUGUGUUGGGGAGUAUCCAACAAAGACACAUUUUAGAGCAUGUGACUCUAGUUUUCAAACAUUUUUAUGUUUAUGAACAAAUGAUGUGCAACCAAAGAUUUUUAAUGUCAUAUCAGUUAAAACACGAGUAUUAGGAAAACAUUAUUUGAAGACAUUAAUUGGAGUAUUAAAAUUGGGAAUUUUGGAGGGCAUUCUAUUAAUUAAAUACACAACUGUUAAAACAACUUCGCCUUACAAAUAAUUUGGUACUUUAUUUGGAAAAAGUAAAGCUCUAGCAACCUCCAAUAAAUGUUUAUUUUUUCUUUCGGCAACUCUAAUUUGUUGAGGAGUAUUAUGACAUGAACUUUGAUGUACAAUCCGAUUUUUAGAAUAAAUCAUCCAGGAUAGUGUUAGAAUAUUCUUUGCCAUUAUCACUUCUAAAGACUUGGAUAAUUGUUUAAAUUGAUUCUGCUCCAUUGUAAAAAAAUUCUUUACAUGAUGACAAACAUUUGAUUUCCCCUUUAACAAGUACACCCAACAUACUCUUGUAUGGUUAUAUAUAAAUGUGAUAAACCAUUUUUUGAGAGAGAGUGUACUUGUACGGUUAUGGUUUAUAAGGCUGUAUUGAAAAUUGAGAACGAUGAUGCUUUGCAAACUCAUAUGCUUCACAUUUAAAAGAAGAAAAGUUUUUAUUAUGAAAUAACUUAGGAAACAAGUGUUUUAAGUAAUGAAAACUAGGAUGACCUGGUCUUAAAUGCUAUACCAUAAUGUUGUCAUCUUUAUUAUUCAAAACUGAAAAAGACUCGAAGCAAGAACAUUUUAUUUUCUAAGGUAGUUGUGAUGCAUAUCCAAUGUCAAGGUAACAGAGUCCUUCACUCUCCUAAGCAUUGCCAAUCAUCUUCCCCAAGUUCAAAUCCUGAAAGACAUAGUGAGAUCGGAAAAAAUUAGUUUGACAAUUUUUAUAUUGGGUUAAUUUACUGACGAACAUUAAAUUACAUGAUUUGAAACAUGAAGAAUAUUUUUAAGAGUUAACACUGGAGGCAACACAAUUGAUCAUUUACCUGCAAUGGUUGAAAAUGAGCCAUUUGUGAUUUUUUAUUUUUUGAUGACCUGCACAUGGACUAUAUGAAGAGAACAAAGUAGAUUCACUUGUAAUGUGAUUAGAGACACCUGAAUCUACUAUUCAAGUAUGACUGAGACUGACAUUAAGAAAUACAAAAUUAUUUUUUGCUACUAUAGAGCACGAAAGGGUUGGAGACUCUAGGAGUUUGUAGAGGUGAAUCUACACCUGUCAUGUUCAUGUUUUACUUUCAUGGAACCUUUGGACUUGUUAUUAGCAAGUAUUCAAAAAGAGCAUAAAAAUAGAAAAUAAAAAGGAACCAAACAAAUACAUAUAUAAGUACAAUAAUCCAGACAAAUACAACAUCCAAUCAAGUACGAAAUUCUUUUAAAAAGAAAGGGAAGUACAAAACAAUGGUCAAACUGUCUACUUUCGCUCCUUGAGUUCUCUCAACUCCUCCUUGAACCUCUGUACCAUCCCCUCGUAGAACAAAAUAAAAUUGAAAGCUGAAGGGUGAGUGUUGUCUUUAUCCAUUUCUUCCAGAGCGUCUCUCAGCUUCCAAUACAUGUCUAUAGUCAGCCAAAUGCAGAAUUCCACCAUGUUAGUGAACUUCUCACGGCUGCGUGCAGAAAAUUGAUGGUUUUCUCAUAGGUGUCUAAGUUACCAUUUAUGUGUUGCCUUUCACCUUACCAUUCUAAACUUUCACUCUGCAAGAAUUUAAAUCGAUGUUUCAUGUGUUGUGGGCACCUCUUGGCAUUUUCCAUGGUACAGCAAGAGAAGUGCCAAGAGAUGGAAAACGCCAAGGGGUGCACACAUCAUUGGAAAUAUCGAUUUGAGUCCCUGCAGAGUGAAAGCUUAGAAUUGCUAGGUGAAGGGCAACACCUAAAUGGGAAAUGAGACAACUAUGAGAAAAACAUCAACUUUUACACGCAGAUAAUACCGUGAAAAGUUCACUAGCCUGGUGGAAUUCUGCAAUUGGCUGACCAGGACAUGUCUUGGAAGCUGAGAGAUGCUCUGGAAGACAUGGAUAAAGACAACACUCACUCUUCAGCUUCCAACUUUGUUUUGUUCUAUAAGGGGAUGAUGCAGAGGUUCAAGGAAGGGAUGAGAGAGCGAAAACAGACAGUUUGACCGUUGUUUUGUACUUUUCUUUUUUAAAAGAAUUUUAUUUGCCUAGAUUAUUGUACUUGAUCAUGUAUCUGCUUCAAAUGAGAAAAUCCGACUCUCUUGCACCAAUCUUUGGUUCCUUCUUAUGUUUUGUUCUUAUGCUCUUUUUGAAUACUUGUUAAUAAUAACAAGUCCAAAGGUUCCCUUAAAGUAAAACAUCAUCUCCAGAAAAUAAGUUGAUUCCUCGACAUCGUUACGCUACUCGCACCAAUACUCGAAGAGCAAUGGAUCAAAUUGAGCAUAAUCAAGCAGCCAUGAGGGAAGAGAUUGACACUAUCAAGAGUAAAGUUGAUCAGAUUCUUGAGACUAUGUUGACUCUGGCCAAAAGAGAGGAUGAGCUUCACAAUGCUGUCACUAUAGGAAAUGUUGUUCCAGUUCAGGGAUCUACUCCGUAGCUACGACCUGUAGUCCCUAAUCCUUUGAUUUAUGACCUUUCUCCGGGCUAUACUUCUCCACUUAAGGGAAUUCCUACUCAACCAGUGCAUAUCUUUGUUGUCACUGAUAGACUUACUGCUCAAGAACAACCUGCUACUAGCCAUAUUCCACCUCCUCAUAUCGAUGAGGAACUCCAGAAUGAAUAUGAAAGGCAGAACUAUCAUGAAGCUAUCCCUGUGAUCAAUCCAGUGGUUGCUCAGGAUUCUGAGGCUAUUCAAAUAUGUCGCACUCUGGCUUAGAAAUUAAGGGUCAUGGAAGGACACAAUUCAGCUAGCAUGAAUGCUUUGGAGAUGUCGUUAGUGUCGGACUUCGAGAAGUAUAAGAGCCGUAGUUGUCCCAAGAUCCACUUGAAGAUGUAUUGUCGUAAAAUGGCUUAGGUUCUAGCCCAAGUUCCUUAGAAUCCGUAUCAGCAAAGGAACCAAUAGCGUCGGAAUCAACAAUAGCGUCUGAACCAACAAAGGGCAUACUAUCAGUAUAAUAAUGUGGAUAUUGAUCCUAUACCCAGUUAUUAUCUUACUUAAAUCAAAACGGAACGGUUGUAUCCAGGGCAUUAACACCCAUGCCAAAGCCACACAAAGCUUUGGUAUGAUGAGAAUGCUAGGUGCACAUAUCAUGAUAAUUCUAAAGGGCAUACAACUGAGAAUUGUCGGGCAUUUAAGCUUAGAGUACAAGAACUGAUAGAUCAGAAGAUGAUGUCCUUUGCAGACAUUCCAAACGUUUGGAAAAUCCUUUACCUGGGCAUGGUGGUUCAGCUGUCAAUGCCCUAGAGGGAGCUACGAAUGAGGGCUUGGUAAAAGAAGUGUUCGAGGUGAAAGCUUCCAAUGAGAGCCUGGCAAAAGAUGUGUUCCGAGGUGAAAGUUUCCAUGACAAUAGUCCAUGCGAAGUUGGCUGAAGCUGGAUUGAUCAGAGGAGUGUACAAUAAGUGCAACGUGUGUUUAUCCACUCCAAAUCUGUGUGAAGAGUUCAAAGAAUAUCUGCAACAUCUAAUGGAUCAACAUGUGGUCCAAUUUAGCAGAAUGUGUUAGACGGUGUGGCUAGUGAUCGAGAGGGGGGUGAAUAGAUCACCUCUUUUAAAAUAAACGGAUUUAAAAAAUCUUAUCAGAGUUAUUGAAACUUAGCGGAAAAUUACAGUCCCGAAUCGACUUCCGUCUAUUCUGAACCGCUACUAGAAAACCGGACACGCGAAUUUAUUGCUGGAUUUGAAUUAGAACGAUAGAGAUUAUUAACACCAGAAUAUUAUCAAAUCAAAUGCACUUAUCACUAAAUUCUAAUUCCAAUGAAUAAAACUCAGCUGACAGUUUUGUCAAACAUUUGGUGUGUAUGUGAUCAAUGAUGAACAAUGGUGGAGUUUAGAUAAAGAAGUUUUCUUGCCACUAUUGUAUCACGAAAUGUACAGUCACAAUACACCAACUGAAAUCACAAAANNNNNNNNNNNNNNNNNNNNNNNNNNNNNNNNNNNNNNNNNNNNNNNNNNNNNNNNNNNNNNNNNNNNNNNNNNNNNNNNNNNNNNNNNNNNNNNNNNNNNNNNNNNNNNNNNNNNNNNNNNNNNNNNNNNNNNNNNNNNNNNNNNNNNNNNNNNNNNNNNNNNNNNNNNNNNNNNNNNNNNNNNNNNNNNNNNNNNNNNNNNNNNNNNNNNNNNNNNNNNNNNNNNNNNNNNNNNNNNNNNNNNNNNNNNNNNNNNNNNNNNNNNNNNNNNNNNNNNNNNNNNNNNNNNNNNNNNNNNNNNNNNNNNNNNNNNNNNNNNNNNNNNNNNNNNNNNNNNNNNNNNNNNNNNNNNNNNNNNNNNNNNNNNNNNNNNNNNNNNNNNNNNNNNNNNNNNNNNNNNNNNNNNNNNNNNNNNNNNNNNNNNNNNNNNNNNNNNNNNNNNNNNNNNNNNNNNNNNNNNNNNNNNNNNNNNNNNNNNNNNNNNNNNNNNNNNNNNNNNNNNNNNNNNNNNNNNNNNNNNNNNNNNNNNNNNNNNNNNNNNNNNNNNNNNNNNNNNNNNNNNNNNNNNNNNNNNNNNNNNNNNNNNNNNNNNNNNNNNNNNNNNNNNNNNNNNNNNNNNNNNNNNNNNNNNNNNNNNNNNNNNNNNNNNNNNNNNNNNNNNNNNNNNNNNNNNNNNNNNNNNNNNNNNNNNNNNNNNNNNNNNNNNNNNNNNNNNNNNNNNNNNNNNNNNNNNNNNNNNNNNNNNNNNNNNNNNNNNNNNNNNNNNNNNNNNNNNNNNNNNNNNNNNNNNNNNNNNNNNNNNNNNNNNNNNNNNNNNNNNNNNNNNNNNNNNNNNNNNNNNNNNAUCAAUAAUGCCGAAUUCGUUGAUACAAGGUUACAAUACAAAGACAGAAAUCUAAAUCCCAAGAUCUUCUUCUUGUAUAAAACCUCCACUUGAUCUGAGCUCGAUCAAGAAUUUCCUGCAAGAAAUUGCAAACAAUUCACCGGUUCCACGACCUGUUUGCGAAAUUACCCAAUUUCCAAACCCUACGCUACGGCUGAAUCUGUUCUGCAAACGUGACUAACAAACCCGCAAGAACACUCCAGUUCUUGAAGGACAAACCAUUUGGUUUUUCCUCGAAACCCCCUUCAACCUUCAACUCAGCUAGAUCCUCGAUCGUUCCACUGAACACCUCAGCUAGAUCCUUGAUCGUUCCACUGAACGUUAUCUCGUUGAUCCUUUAAUCCAAAGAACAAGCAUGAUUAUGUGUUGAUGUUCUUGAAGAAAAGAGAUUGAGAAGAUGAAGAAGAUGAAGUCUCUUUCAGGUUUCUAACUGCUCAAACAAUUGCUGCUACGCACUCCUUUGAUUUGUGUUACAACUGUUUUUCACUUGUGAAUUCGUGCCCUUUUUCUAAGUUGUCAAAAUACUUCUUAUAUGUGGAAGACAGAAGCUGUUAGUAGACAAAACAAAAUUAUGUAUUGAUACAAAGGAUUAUGCAUCGAUACAUACUGUAGCUUUGAUUAAUUUUAGAGAAUUAAUAUAAGCAUGUAUCGAUACAAAGCUCGUAUGUAUCGAUACAUAUAACAUUUUAACUAAGCAUGUAUCGAUACAAAGCUCGUAUGUAUCGAUUACAUAGGACAUUUACGAAAUAAUAGUAUAGGCUAAAAACACAAAUGAAACAUGUAAAAUAAUGCACAACCAACAAUUAGACAAUGAUCACACAAUUUGCUAUCAUUCAAAACUUAUUCAAAGUAAAGAAUUUGCUCACAAACUCCCCCUUUUUGAUGAUGGCAAAUUUUUAGCAAGAUGUGUGAUACUCCCCCUGAGUUUGUGCAUAUCUGUCAACAUCUGCAUUUCUCCCCCUUUGUCAACAUCAAAAAGAAGAAAAAAACAGUUUUAUCAAGGCAACAUGUUGUAGCAGGACACAGCAAAAAUGAUAAAGAAGCUAACAAUCACAAAGAAGGAAGCUUAAAAAGUAAAGAAUCACUCACAAAGAAUGACAAAUAAGGGCAAUAACACCAGAAGUAAGCAGAAGGAAAUAAGCAUUUAACUAGUAGAAAGUAUUUAAAAAUUACAUAAGCCAAGACAUAUAAGGUGCAACUAAUCUGAAAAGAAAAAAACUCAAGCAACAUGCAAUGAAAUGCAGUGAAAUGAAAUGAUGAUGGUUUAAUGUGGAUUAUAGCCACCACAGGACUCCUCGUCAUCUCUAUCAGGAUCUCUGAAGCUUGGCGGAGGCGGAGGAGGAGGCAUUGCAUCUGGAUUGUGGCCCAUGAAGGUGUAGUGCCUGAACCGGUCCUGAACUUCAACACUUCUGAAUCUGUCCAUAAUACCAGGAUUGGCACGGCAGUCGUCCAUAAAACCAGACAUUUCAUUGUAGAAGACUUGGUGCCACUUAACCAAGUCCGUGUGCCAAGAGUGUUGGUUAUGGUACAUCCGUGUAUGAUCGUCAUGCCACUCACGAUGCUCCUUAUGCCACUCACUUUGUUGUACAUGCCAAGACCGUGCCUCUUCAUGACGUUCUUGGUUGGCAAGCUCCAUUUGUUGAAGCAUUUGAGUUAGGUGCGCAGUAGGUGUUGAAGAUGAAGCACCGCCGGAGAACGGAGGAACCGUUGGUUCAGGUACAUAGUUGGUUGGAGACCACCUUUGUGGCACCCAAUCACCCCAACCAGCAUUGUCAUCAGCUGCAGGCACAUCUGCUUCGUUCACAUCAUGCAUUUCUUCAUCAGGUUGGUCUUCAACUACAUGAAUUCGUUCAGAAGGCACAUCAAAAUUAUAGAUCCUUGUUUUGGAUUUCCUUUCAAAGAAAUAGAAACAUUGACGUUCCUUGUCCCACCGAUAUCCCAUAUGAGAUAAAGUGGAAGAGUCAAACUCUUGAGCAGCAGAUGGUGAUAUGAGAGGAACUAAAGGGAUUGCAACAUUCCAGAACGUAAGAAUUUUCAUGAUUUGAGACGCAUAACCAAGAGCAACAUUCUUGGCACUGUUACGCACGAAAAAGAGACGCUUCACAAAGUAAUUUGCCCAAUUCAAGGGAACCUUAUUUUGAAGAAUAUACAAGAGAUGAAUGUCUGCCCUGUCUAACCUAGAAUGUCCACUGUUUGCUGGACGCAGAAUGUGUGAGAUAAUCCAAUGAAGUAUACGAGCAAUUUUCUUAAUCAUACCAGACGUAACCUGUUCAUCCUCACCCAGCGGUCUGUCCAAUUUCAAGAUAGAUAGAGUAAACUCCUUCAGGUUAAAGUCAGUAUCAAACUUCAAAGUCAUGAAAUUAUGCGACGGAAGCGGAAUUUGAAACACUGUUUCCCAAUCAGCAGCCUCAAAAGUAUAGGUUCUGACACCAAUAGAAUACUUAAACAUAUAUCCUUUACCAGAUUGUAAGCCAUCAUAAAAUGCACGGAUAAAAUCCUCAUGGUAAUCAUCCUUUGUAGUAAAAAAUGAACCAAGUUUUUGUGCAUUCAGGAGUUCUACCACAUCAUUGAGAUGCAGAUGAAUAGCAUCAUGUUUAUCGAAGACAUGGGGUUUCAUAACUAACCUUGUCUUGAAAGAAUCCUCAAACUCAGUAGCAAUUGCAGGAUGAAGCAAAUAAGCAUCAUGUUUAUCGAAGACAUGGGGUUUCAUAACUAACCUUGUCUUGAAAGAAUCCUCAAACUCAGUAGCAAUUGCAGGAUGAAGCAAAUCUAAGGCAUUAGGAGGAAUUUCUGGUAACUGCUGAAAAGUGUCAACCGGUUCCUUUCCUUUUCCUUUUCCCCUUACUCUAGCCGGAAUGAUUCUUGGAGGCAUGGUGAUGAAAAAUUGAAGAAAAGUGAGAUGAAUUUAGGGUUUUGGAGAGAAUGAUGAUGAAGGAGAUUAGGGGAAUUGCUGAUGUGUCGAUCCAUGAGUGAAAUAAAAUGCAUUUAAUUCAAAAACAAUCAGUAUGUGUCGAUACAUAUGGGAAUGGAUCGAUCCAUGUCACGAGUUUUUUUUUUUUUUAAAAAAGGUUUAUGUAUCCAUACAAACGACGAAUGGAUCGAUACAUACUGAACCAAUUUUGACAAAUGUGAAAUGAAGAAGACAUGAAUCGAUACAUACAUCUUUGAAUCGAUACAUCAGCAAUUCCCCUAAUCUCCUUCAUCAUCAUUCUCUCCAAAACCCUAAAUUCAUCUCACUUUUCUUCAAUUUUUCAUCACCAUGCCUCCAAGAAUCAUUCCGGCUAGAGGAAGGGGAAAAGGAAAAGGAAAGGAACCGGUUGACACUUCUCAGCAGUUAUCAGAAAUUCCUCCUAAUGCCUUAGAUUUGCUUCAUCCUGCAAUUGCUACUGAGUUUGAGGAUUCUUUCAAGACAAGGUUAGUUAUGAAACCCCAUGUCUUCGAUAAACAUGAUGCUAUUCAUCUGCAUCUCAAUGAUGUGGUAGAACUCCUUAAUGCACAAAAACUUGGUUCAUUUUUUACUACAAAGGAUGAUUACCAUGAGGAUUUUAUCCGUGCAUUUUAUGCUGGCUUACAAUCUGGUAAAGGAUAUAUGUUUAAGUGUUCUAUUGGUGUCAGAACCUAUACUUUUGAGGCUGCUGAUUGGGAAACAGUGUUUCAAAUUCCGCUUCCGUCGCAUAAUUUCAAGACUUGGCAUGACUUGAAGUUUGAUACUGACUUUAACCUGAAGGAGUUUACUCUAUCUAUCUUGAAAUUGGACAGACCGCUGGGUGAGGAUGAACAGGUUACGUCUGGUAUGAUUAAGAAAAUUCCUCGUAUACUUCAGUGGAUUAUCUCGCACAUUCUGCGUCCAGCAAACAGUGGACAUUCUAGGUUAGACAGGGCAGGCAUUCAUCUCUUGUAUACUCUUCAAAAUAAGGUUCCCUUGAAUUGGGCAAAUUACUUUGUGAAGCGUCUCUUUUUCGUGCGUAACAGUGCCAAGAAUGUUGCUCUUGGUUAUGCGUCUCAAAUCAUGAAAAUUCUUACGUUCUGGAAUGUUGCAAUCCCUUUAGUUCCUCUCAUAUCACCAUCUGCUGCUCAAGAGUUUGACUCUUCCACUUUAUCUCAUAUGGGAUAUCGGUGGGACAAGGAACGUCAAUGUUUCUAUUUCUUUGAAAGGAAAUCCAAAACAAGGAUCUAUAAUUUUGAUGUGCCUUCUGAACGAAUUCAUGUAGUUGAAGACCAACCUGAUGAAGAAAUGCAUGAUGUGAACGAAGCAGAUGUGCCUGCAGCUGAUGACAAUGCUGGUUGGGGUGAUUGGGUGCCACAAAGGUGGUCUCCAACCAACUAUGUACCUGAACCAACGGUUCCUCCGUUCUCCGGCGGUGCUUCAUCUUCAACACCUACUGCGCACCUAACUCAAAUGCUUCAACAAAUGGAGCUUGCCAACCAAGAACGUCAUGAAAAGGCACGGUCUUGGCAUGUACAACAAAGUGAGUGGCAUAAGAAGCAUCGUGAGUGGCAUGACGAUCAUACACGGAUGUACCAUAACCAACACUCUUGGCACACGGACUCGGUUAAGUGGCACCAAGUCUUCUACAAUGAAAUGUUUGAUUUUAUGGACGACUGCCGUGCCAAUCCUGGUAUUAUGGACAGAUUCAGAAGUGUUGAGGUUCAGGCACUACACCUUCACGGGCCACAAUCCAGAUGCAAUGCCUCCUCCGCCAAGCUUCAGAGAUCCUGAUAGAGAUGACGAGGAGUCCUGUGGUGGCUAUAAACCACCAUCAUUUCAUUGCAUGUUGCUUGAGUUUUUUUCUUUUCAGAUUAGUUGCACCUUAUAUGUCUUGGCUUAUGUAAUUUUUAAAUACUUUCUACUAGUUAAAUGCUUAUUUCCUUCUGCUUACUUCUAGUGUUAUUGCCCUUAUUUGUCAUUCUUUGUGAGUGAUUCUUUACUUUUUAAGCUUCCUUCUUUGUGAUUGUUAGCUUCUUUAUCAUUUUUGCUGUGUCCUGCUACAACAUGUUGCAUUGAUAAAACUGUUUUUUUUUUAUGUUGACAAAGGGGGAGAAAUGCAGAUGUUGACAGAUAUGCACAAACUCAGGGGGAGUAUCACACAUCUUGCUAAAAAUUUGCCAUCAUCAAAACUUAUUCAAAGUAAAGAAUUUGCUCACAGAAUGAUGAUAGCAUUUAUGUAAUUGUGUCUUUGUUUGAUAAAGAGAGACUCCCUAAACCUUCGGUAGUUCCUUGCCAGAGGAAUACCACUGACACUGAAGAGUGUUCACUUCAGAAGAAGGUAAAUGAAACAGCAGUUGAACAUUCAAAGGGGAAAGAGGUUGCUACUCCGGAGUCAGGAGAAGGGCCUCAAAGAAGACUGUGUCUCCAGAAGAGGAUCAUAAAGAAGAGUGACUACAAAGUGGUAGAUCAACUCAAUCAAACCCCGUCAAAGAUCUCUAUCCUAUCUUUGCUUAUGAGUUCUGGGCCUCAUAGGACCGCCUUGCUGAAAUUCUUGAAUGAAGCUUAUGUGGCUGAAGAUAUCAGUGUCAACCAGUUCGAUAAUGUGGUCGCCAAUCUUAGUGUUGGCAGUUGCUUAAUGUUCACUGAUGAUGAUUUGCCACCCAAUGGGCGUGAGCACACCAUGGCUCUACAUAUUUCCAUCAAGUGUGCUGAUGCUACUCUAUCUCGAGUACUGGUCGGUACAUGUUCAUCCCUGAAUGUGCUCUCAAAGACUACUCUGGCACAGUUGAAUGUUGAAGGAGUGCAAAUGAGGCAGAAUGCACUGGUGGUGAAGGUUUUUGAUGGUUCUAAGCGAACAAUUAUUGGAGAGAUUGAUCUUCCAAUCCUGAUUGGCUCGCAGACUGUCACCUCGACACUCCAUCAGAAGCGAAAGUUUGUCACCGGUGAUAAGCUAGUCUCAAUCUCUAGAGAAGAGGGUAUCAUUGUCAGCCACCUAUCUUCGUUCAAAUAUAUGUCUAGUUAUUCCGUAGUGAUUGGAAGCUGAGUUAAAAGGGAUUGCCGCCCUUGAUCAGAAUUACUAGUCCGAAAUGCAUAAUCACCUUUCUUCUUUCAGUUAGGAGGUUUGCCUUUGAGCUUCCAACAACUUUCACGCGUAUGCCAUUCACGUUUGCAGGUAUCACACCAAGGAACUUUGUCCGACCUUUUUCCCUCGUCAAGGUUCCUAGUAGUCAGAGCUGAGCCUUCAGCAUGGUGUCUUGCUCAUCAUAAUUCUUUCUCUUGCCUCCUCCUUUUUUAUUUCUGCAAAAGUUUCACUGAGAGUUGGCAAUUGUAUUUUUCCUAAAGCUCUACCUUUUACCUCAUCAAGAUCUUUAUUGAUCCCAGCGAGAAACAUGAAUACACGAUCAUUUUCUUGCCUUUUGAAAAACAAAACACUGUCUUCUGUACACCUCCAAUUGUCAACAUAACAUAGAUCCAACUUUUGCCACAGAGUCAACAGCUCAUUAUAAUGAGCAGUUACACUCUUGUCAUCUUGUUUCACAUGCCAUAACUUUGAUUCUAAACCAAAAAUUUAGGGGUUCUGCAUAUCAGAGUAUGUUUCCUUAACAAAAUUCCGCACAUCCUUUGCAGAAGGGAAAAACACGUAAGGCUUAUCUAUUCCAGUUUUUCAUAGAGUUUAUCAACCACGCAAUAACUAAGGAGUUUGAGUCCAUCAUUAUAGUUAUUCCCAUUCAUUUUAGGAAUAUUGACCUUGAGGGAGUAUGAGGAACCCCCUUGAUCAUUGCCGCCUAUGGUGGAAUAACUGUUACCAAAAACAAUGUUGUUCCUGUUUCCAUUGUUGCCGCCAUUACUGCCACUGUUUGUGACUACCAACAUUUCAUCUAGUAUGACAUUUCCGCGACCUCUGCUUUUUCUGCGGCCACCGCCGUCUCCUCUGCCGCCGCCUGACUCAGACUGUGGUUGCUCGCCAUGGUUGGAUCCAGUGUAGGCCUGUGUCGAAGAAGAUCACCUGUUGUUAUUCGUCAUAGGGGCUAAACGGGUAUGUAAAGUGGGUUGGGUAAGUAAGCGGGUCGACCCCCACUAGUUGUGGAAAGCCUUAAAGUAAACCCUAACCUUAUGCUCUUGAUACCAUAUUGAAAAUAAUAGAUAAAAGAUGGUCUAUUUUAUUCCUCAGCCUUUGGCUGACUUAUAUAGUAAGAAUACAAUUAAUACACUUAAUUAUCUCCUUAAUGGAGAAUAAAGAUAAAUGAUUGAGAAUAAUCGGGAACAAUAAAAACGGAGAAAUAAAAUAUUUUCAACUCUCAACUUUAUAUGCUUUUGUUUAGCAGCGAAGCACGGCAACAUGAAAUACAAAUAACAUUCGGAGUUUUUCAUAUUUAUAACCAAGAAACCGCCUAAGUCCCAACCUGUCAGAAUGUUAUGAUCAUUGUUCCGUAAUGGAUUUGACCAUUCCUAGAACCCCAGUUGGAGUCCAUUCAGAUGUUAAAAAAUAUAAUAAUGAUCAACUCGGAUUGUCUUUUGAGGUUGAUGACGAUGAAGGUUGACUCUGGUCAGCUCUUCAUGUUAAGCUUUCACAAAUGAGUAGUUAUCUAUCUGAUGAUGUAGGGUUAUAUAAAUUUAAUGUCGUUUUUUUCUUCAAUUUUGUUGAUUUUUUUAUUCUUCUCUAUUCAACAUCUUAACAUGUUUUGCUCAUGUAAAGACUUGAAUCUCCAGCUACAAUCGAUUGGGGAAGAAUGCUAGUGAAACAGAUGCAGAAGAGAUUAUUGAAAUGGCCAGUAAAGCCUCUGUUGCCGAUCAACAAAUGCUAGUACAAGAAAAUGUUCAUUCUCAAAUUAAAGCAUUUUGCACGUUAAUGGAUGAAGUUCUUCUUACAAAUGAAAAGACGGGGAAUGACAGCUACUUCGAGUUACUAUCUCAACAAACAAACGUUUUACCUCGAAAUACUGAGCAUAGUUCUGCCAAUGGUAAGUGUGUAUCAAUCUUGCUGAUCUCACAAUAUUCCUAUAUCUUUAACUAAGUGAUUGAGUUUAAGCUAAAGUUGAAUUGUUUGAGAGAACCCGAGUCCGAAUCUCGGUUUCGACAAUUCUUGGUCGGACUUUACCUAUCACUUUGCCGAACUCCGGAUUACCAAAGUCCCUAUAGGAACCAUAGGGUUAUGACAAAAAAAAACCUUUUUACAGCGAUUAUGAAAUGUUAUUGUCAAAAUUAUAACUAUUGCCUAUUUACUCUAUUCAUCUACUAAUGAGGUGUUGAACAGGUUUUCCGAAACAAAGACCGAUAAGUCAAGCUGAACUUUCGCAGAAAUUAAAGGACGAACUUGGCUACACGCUCAAUGUUAAACCUUCUCAAAUAUCUCACAAGGAUGCUGGCAAAGGUCUAUUUUUAGAUGGUGUAGUAGAUGUUGGUGCUGUGGUAGCCUUUUAUCCCGGGGUAGUAUACUCUCCAGCUUAUUAUCAUCAUAUUCCUGGAUAUCUUGAUGAGCAGAACCCCUAUUUGAUUACAAGACAUGACGGGACUGUCAUUGACGCCCAACCUUGGGGUCGUGGAGGUGACGGGAGAGAACCGUUAAAUGGUGGUAAAAUGGUAGACGAGAAAGGGUCUCAAGUAGAUAAUAGCGACGAUGUACUCGAGCGUAGAAAUCCACUAGCCUUGGCACAUUUUGCUAAUCAUCCUUCAAAAGGAAUGCUUCCAAAUGUCACAAUUUGCCCUUAUGACUUUCCAUUGAUUGAAAAUGACAUUAGAGCCUACAUUCCUAAUAUAUUAUUUGGAAAUGCAACAAAAGUAAAUGUGGACAGAUUUGGAAGUUCCUGGUUCAAAUCUAGAGUUUCAAGAAAUACUGAAUCACAUGUUCCUACUACUCUGAAAACUGUUGUUUUGGUAGCAACUAGGGCUCUUCAAGAUGAAGAACUUCUCCUGAACUACAGGCUGAGCAACACGAAGCGGUUGCCUGAAUGGUAUGCUCCAGUUGAUGAAGAAGAGAUCAUAGAAAGGUCAAAUUAGCCAAUGACGCGAUGAAGUUGCGAUGGCUUGAUGAAGUAAUUUUUUUUCCCAUUAUUUGUACAUUAUCUCAAAGAUGUAAGAAUGAGGUCAUGUCUCUUUUGUGAUGGAUGAGCAUGAUGAUAUGACCAAAUUUUUAAGGCUUGAUUUUGGCUUUUUUUUCAGAAGUCAAAAUCUACUUCAAGGCUACACAGUGUGGCUAUAGUUAUACUAAAUAAAUCAAGGUGAUAUUAAAAGUUAAAAGUUAUAAGUCAUUACUUAUUUUAGAUAUAUGUUUAGGCAGAUUUUCAUUACAUCUUAUGAAUUUGUUACAAGUUCUGAGAAACUCUGAAAAUACCUAUGUGCAGAAGUUAUCUUUUGAUCUUUUAUUGCUCAUUUGUCCUCAUUUGACAAAUAUGACAAAUAUUAAAAAAGUGUGACAGUUAUCUUCAUACACGCCUCAUUCAAUAAAAGUUAGUAUUAUAUUUUUCACGUUCUAAAAAAGCAAAUUUUGAAAAAUAUGAGUGUCUAAAAAGUAGCUUCUAAAAAAAGACAAGAGUUUUUAUAAAGUUUGUGUAAAAUACAUAAUAAACAAUCGAUUUUGUGAAUUUCUUAAUAUAUUCUGGUAUACUUUGUGAAAAUAUAAUAAUAUUUUUACAUUUUGGAGAUUUAUUUCUUGAUAAACUCCGACUUAAUAUAUUUUUUAAUUAGGCCUUAAGUCAUUGUGAAAAAAAAUUAUCAAGAUACAUCUCCGUGUACGUUAUUGAGAUGCAUCUUUGGACGUUGUUUAUUCAAAGUCGUGCGAUAAUCUUUUCUCCUUCUUCACUUUUAAAAAAACAACUCUAAACCACUAAAGUUUCUCAAACUCUCAAAAAUAUUCAACCAACUUAAAACUUCUUCCAUCAAAGAGUCAAUUUAACACUUAAGUAAACUCACAAUUUGUAAGUUUUUUGUUUUUGUUUUUGUUUUUUUUUGAGUUUUUGUAUAAAUUUAUAGAAAAUUGAUGAUUAAGUUAUGAAAUAGAUAGUUUAUACAUGUUUGAUAGUUUAUAUAUAAUGAGAAACGUGUUUGAUAGGUGGUGUUAUUGAUCAAUGUUAUUUUUGUUGUUUUGGAGGACUGCAUUUCGGCCAUUGACGGUGAUGAAAGUUACAGAAAAUUCUAAAGAUACAUCUCCAGAAUUUUUCAAUGUUUUGAUUUCAAGAAAUCAGAGAUGCAUCUUCAGAGUUUUUCAGUGCAUUUUUUUGAUAACUUUUGCUUGUACUCAAUAUGUAAUGCUUGUGUGGUUUACUUACGGGCAUUAUGACUGAUAGGCAAAACCGAUUGAGGCGCGCCAGGAUUGGAUAACAUGCAUCUGUUCGAAAGGAAAAGAGUCAACCAUCGUAGGCUCCUGUUACCUCUAGUCCGGUUGACGCGGAGGCGUCAGCUUCUAGGGUUCAUGUAUCUUCGCCUUCUUCUUUCUGUAGGAGACAGGUGUCACCUACUCAUGCAUCCCUGCCUUCAUCUUCCUGUAUGCAAUAAAUUUCACCUAUUCAAGCAUCCGAGACAAUAGAAGUACCUGAAUCAUCGGAGGUAUUUCAGACGCUAGAGGUACCUGAGGCACCCCAGGCACAUGAGGCAGCAGAGAUACCCGAGGCACCCCAGGCACAAGAGGCAACAAAUGUAAUUGAGGCACCCCAUGUCCAGGAGGCAUCAGAGGCACCUUAGGCAACAUAGGGGUUUGGAGGAGUCUUGUCAUACUUGUCAUUGUUGUCUCUUUAUCCAUACCAUAUUGUCAGACAUGUCUGGGAUUGGGAAGUAAAAUUUAGUUGGAUUCAUACAUUUUAAAUUAUGUUUGUUAUAAUAUUAAAAGCUUUUUACGAUGAUUUAUUUUUCUGAAUGACCGUGAUUUGCUAAAAUUCAUCAACCAUGGGCGGAACAUUACUAGCCUGCAGCAGCCUAAUGAGCAGUGGUUUCAGAAUGUUUUGCAACUAUCUAGGAUGAGAGACUUGUGCAAGACCAGUUAUGUUACGACUAACCAUGGUAUGCUUAAUGCGUUUGUAGAGAGAUGACACACGUAGACAUCAUCAUUUUAUCUACCACAUGGUGAGAUGUCUAUCACACUUGACGAUGUCUUGUGUCUUCUGCAUCUUUCGAUUAUGAGAAAACUUUUAGAUCAUGGAAAGAUUAAUAGAGAUGAUGAACUGGAGUUGAUGGUAGACUAUAUGGGAGUUAACCUAGAGGCUACCAUGAAGGAGUUUGAAACCACCGCAAGGACUCAUGAUAGGUUUUGAUUCUUAGAGAAGGUGUAUACAUAUGAGCUACUUGGACCACAACAAGCAGUUGGUGAUGACAAGCAAAUUGCGCAGCAUAAAGCAUAUGCUAUGAGAGCAUACCUGUUGUAUUUUGUUGGCACUGCCAUUUUUGUGGACAAGAGUACCAUUUAUGUGAAUGUCAUUUACAUGUGAUACUUCGAUGACUUUGAGCAGAUCCAUGAGUGCAACUGGGGGGGCACUUGUUUGGUCUACUUAUACUCUAAGUUAUUUGAAUGAUGUAUUUGGAAAACGAAAUAGGUGAUAGGAAACAUCACACUAUUGAUGGCAAUAUUUCUUAGUCUUUUAGUGUGUCAUUUUCAUAAGACUUUUGCAAUGCUAUGACUAAUGAUUCACGUGUUCCAACACUUUUCAGGCUUGGAUCUUCCAACACUUCUAAAGCAUAUUUGACUGGUCAUGUCUACUGACCUAUGUUGAGGAAACUAGACGACAUAGUUGUUCAGAGUGUAUCUUGACCACUUGGUUGUAGAGGAUAUACACUUCCAUACAUACGUUGAUCACCAUGAGACGCGUCCCUUUGACGACAUAGUCAUAUUCUCGGGAUGGCUGGCUUGCGGUUCACGUCUGACGUUUCCUCAUCUGCCUGAGCGCGCCAUGCGGCAGUUUGGCUACAUGAAAUACAUUCCUAAAUAUCAUUUUGUGUAUGCUUCUCCCACUAUGACACGUAGAGAUAUGGAUGCCACGUUUGAUUAUCAUCUUAAUCAUCUGAUAUCGGAGAAGUCACGAAGUACAAUAGCUAAGAGCGACUAGAGCUACGUAGACGGUUACAUCUGGUGAUUCUUUAGGGUGUCACAUCCUUAUAUGAUACAUGAUGCUCUAGGAGAUCCAUGUUAUGGCAGAUCAUGUUGUUGAUGUGUUGCCUAGAUAUCGUUGUAUCAUAGAGAUUUGGUUGGCAGGUAUAGACAAAGGACUCUUUCUGGAUGGCUCUGAGGCUAGGAACGUUGUGGAUGCCAUGAUGGCAGAGGCACUACAGUAGUUUGAGCAUCUUAUAUGAUACAGGAUGCUCUAGGAGAUCCAUCGAGGGCAACUCAUCAGAAGAUUAUAUAGGAGAAGCAUGUUAUGGCAGAUCAUGUUGUUGAUGUGUUGCCUAGAUAUCGUCGUAUCAUAGAGAUUUGGCUGGCAGGUAUAGACAACUGACUCUUUCUGGAUGGCUAUGAGGCCAGGAAUGUUGUAGAUGUCAUGAUGGUAGAGGCACUGCAGUAGAUGAGGCAAAGUAGGAACAGGGGGUCCCGAGUUUGAGUUUGUCAUAUUCAAUAGUUUAUAGUAUUUUUACUUUGGAUUCAUUUUCGGUUGUAUUUUAUUUUGACUUAUUUCGACUUCAUUGUGUACUCUAGAUUUAUUAUUUUAUGUCAUUUUUUGCAUAUCAGUUGUAUGGUCUAAUUCAUCAUAGUAUAUUUUUACUAUAUCGUCUAUUUCACCUGACCAUCACUAAAACAAACUUGAAAUUUCGUUUCUAGUCUAGUUACGAAGAUGCAUCUCCGGAUUCUUUCUAGUGAGAAUACGAAGAUGCAUUCCUAGAAUAAUCUAUGGAAAAAAAUGACAUUUCAGUGAGGGAUAUAUGGAGUGUAUAUUGAAUUAUUUCGAAGAUGCAUCACCGAAUUCAAUUUUAAAAAAUAUAUUUGAUGUGGAAACAAUUUUAGAUAUUCACGAAGUGUUUUUCUAUCACUUAGGUAGAUUAGGGAUGUUCAAAUUAAUCGAUUAUAAAAAUUAUCCAUAUCCGAAUCCAAUUAUUAAAAAAUAGUUAAUUAUUAAUAUGGUUUAAACUAAAUCCAUAAUUUGAAUAUGUUAUUAAUAUAAUUUUAACUAAAUCCAUAUUUUGAAAUCCAUAUCCAAAAUAAAAACUAAAUUAAUCUAUUUUUUUUAAAUCACAAAAAAAAUAUCUUAACUUUUUAAAAUCCCUCCAUCCCUCCCCCUUGCGUCCAAGUGGUCAAUAUCAAUGAAAUUGAUUGUAAUCGUAAUUAAAAAAAAAACAAGUAAAUGGUAUUACCUGUCUAUAUUGUAUGAAAGGAUUUUUAAUUCAAUUAAAACAAAAAUUAUGAGUUUCAUUAUUUUGUGAUUUGCAUAAAAUGAAAUUGCCAUGAAUCAAAUGCAGCUAUUGUUUAGGACACUGAAAAUGAGAUCUCUUGCUGGUGACUAGUGAAAUAAACAAAUAGUGUACUUUAAGGUAGGCUUAGAUUACUUUAGGGUAUAAUAUAAAUAAAUAUGUUGUCAUACAUUUUAUUCGUCACAAGUAAAUAGAGAACAUCUGAUUAUACUAUUUUAUAUGUUAUUAACAUAUAGUGCCAAAAAGUAUCAUUUACGAAUAGGAAUUUCUCGAUGAAUUAAUGACAAGCCUUAUCAUACUAAACUGUUAAAUUAUAAUAUAUAUUAUUUUCGUUGAGGUUGUUAAUUAGUUUAUUUUGAUUAAAUGUGUUAAGAAAAACUAUCUUAAAUCGAUGUUCGGUGUUUUUAUGAUAUAUAUUCUUUAAGAAUUUGAAAAAAAAAUGUGUGAAAUCCAUUUUUAAAAUUUUAAUUUUAAUGUCCGGAUGAAAACCAAUUAUAAAAAAUUAAUAUCUAGUUUUAAAAACUGGAUUUUUAUGUUUAAAAUCGGAUAUAAAUUUUUAAAUCGAUUAGAAAAUUCAUAAUCAAUUAUAAAAUAUGAUUAUGGAUAUAACCGAUUUUAUAAAAAUAAAAUCAUUUAUAUUGAUCAGUUAUAGUAUCCGAUCAUAAUAUAUUAUCAUGUUUUCAUUUUUCUUUCUUUUCUGUAUCUAGAGAUAUUCUGUUUUCGAGCAUCAGAAUCUGAAACAAACAAUAUAUUUAUUUAUCAAGUGCAUUACAAUGUAUUUAUAUAUCAACGGUUGAAUUUUGUUCAUUAAGUUCAAUUUAGAUUUAGAUUUUUCCAAAAACAUAUCAACAAUAUUCACAGAUACUAAAUGCAAACACGUAGAUAUUGUUGGUUCAACUUCAAACACAUAUUUUUAGUUUUUUUAUCAUGGAAGUUGUACUUAAAGUGAUUAAUUUCAAUGUUUUUAAUAUGAUAAUUGUUAAAAAAAAAUGAAAUUAUGGAAUUCAUAGUUUACCAAAAUAACUUAACCAAAAUGCCAUUCAAAUUGAACGAGUCUUCAACCUCAAAUUUUAGUAGUCUUUUAGUUUGAGAUUGGUUUUACGUUUAAAGUAUUAAGUUCUAAAUGUGUAGAAUUGAUUGACAUAUUUAGUUACUCCCUUUUAACCAAAAACAAUUUUACAACAUCAAUUCACUCAAAGAAAAAAUUCAACUGCAUAACCAAACAUAUGUUUAAUCUUAAUACUUUCUUUCAACAAUGUAAAAAAUAGCGUCGGCUUGAAUUAUUAAGAAGAAUAUAAGAUCAUUACACAACCAUUCAGAAUGUGUAGUGGCCUUGUAGGUUGCCUCAGUUUUCAUUCAAUUUCAACUGGUUGACACUUAAAUUAUCAUGCCAUCUAUAUUGAAGCUCAUCGACUAACACCAACCCACUUACUUCUGUGACAUAGCAAUCUUCAUGAUCAGGAUCAAGAUCGCAACGCAUCAUAGAAAAAACUCAUCUUCCAAUCCAUCAGAAGUCAAUUAUCCAAUCACAGGAUUCAAUGUAAACUAUAUCAGUAGUGAGGGAAAGAUAAUGAUAGUAUUUUCAUUUACAAUGAAUAUCAAACCUAGGAAGCCUGUGAUAAGCUGGCUCUAGCCGCGCGCCUUUCUAGUGCCUUCAACCUAUUUGCUUCCAUUCGGGCUCUCUGCUCUUCUGUUAUCUCAGCAUUGCUGGACAGACUGGCUCCAUUAUUUGGGACUUCAUUUGAUUUCUUUUCUAUUGCCUUCAACCUAUUUGCUUCCAUUCGGGCUCGUUGCUCUGCUGUUAUCUCAGCAUUGCUGGACAGACUGCCUCCGUUAUUCGGGGCUUCAUUUGAUGUCUUUUCAAUUGCACUACUUUUGGGAUCUGUACUCGUACCAAUCACAUUUUGCAUGGGCUGAGAAGGUUCCUGCAGUAAAAGAGAAAAUACCUCUGUUACAAACUCUGGCAUCAGCUCUUUGUUUCCGAUUUGGUUUAACUCAAAAGUUAUGUAUACCUAACUAUCAGCAACUAUUGAUUCGGACUUCAUAAGAAAGGAAUAAUUACAACAAAAAAACUGGAGACUUAAGGGACGGAAAAAUAAAUUAAUGUAACUAGAUGUUCAAGUAAUCUCCAAUGAAAGAAUACAACAGUCUGAAGAGAGUAAUGUUACCCUUGCAUUAUUAAUACCACACUUUUCAAUAAGGAUAAAAACUAAAUCUGAUUUAAACAGUUCCCAAACAAUUCAGAUUAGUCAAAAAUUUGUGAGAAUGGUAUCCUAGAAGACAACUUACCUAUUUUCUAUCCAACUGAUAUGCAUAAUUAUUAAAAGAGUUCCUUUCACUAAGGGAAACAUCCAGAUGUGUUUCAAUAAACAAAUAGAUAUUCUUAUGUGAUAACAAAAGUGAAGAACUAUAUAUGUUUAAAAGAAAAUAAACUCACUACAGUAGCUUGGUCAUAUAUAUCAUUGAGCAUGUCUUCUUGAAUGUCAAUAACAUUUUCAGGUUCAUCAAACAUCUCAUUAUCUUGAUGAGUUACUUCCCCAUUUUCUGCAGAUACAGCAAAGCCCAAUUAUGCAGAUUUAACAAAGAUACCUAAAGACGUCAAUAAAAUAAAUAAAACCUAAUUAUUUCUUCAAGUAGACUAUAUUGAAACUGCUGGCCACUCUGUUUGAAGUAUGAAUCAUGUGGAAAUUUGCCAAAAUCUAUGUCUGUUUUCAUUAUAACUACCUAUAAUUGGCAAGUGAGCUUCAAUGAAUAAAUUGUCAAUUGUUGGAUCCUAUCUCUCAAGCAAUUUAACGUUUAAAAAAUGCUUGUACACUUGAAAAGGGAAAAUUAAGAGGAAAGUGUUCUUAGUAAGUAUGUUUUUUAACAGCUACAUAACAACUGGUUGAUUCAAUGAAUGGUACUCGUUAACAACAUUAACUUGUUUAGUUGAAAAAUAUUUCUAACAGAAUGUGAAAAUAAUAUACCACAUUUGAACUUCACAAUUGUUCUAUAAGAUUAUAACCACAGAUCUAAGAAACCAACUAUGAAUACAUAUAUAGUAAAUACCUUGCUCAGCAACUGGGAUGUUUUGCACACCUGGUGGUUCGUGCAAUUUUGAUGGAUCCCCACCAUUUGCAACUCUUUCUCUCAAUUCUCUAAGGCUCGUCUGGUAAGAGGACGUAAAAUAAAUGUCAAAUACAGGGUUUAACAAGGACAUAAAAUAAAUGUCAACUACAGGGUUUAACAAGGACAUAAAAUAAAUGUCAAAUACAGGGUUUAACAAGGACAUGCAGCAAGACAAACCCUCUCAACAAAUAUAAAAUCAUAUGGUGAGAUACAUAAAGUAAGUGAAUGCCCGGAGAGAUGGAGAUACAGAAUAAGGGCAAAGCAUAUCAAUAUGUGUGUGUAUAAACCAUAUAAAAAAGCAAAGGAAAUGGAUCGUUUAUAUACUUGUAUUGUAUAUGUACCAAUUGAAUGAAAAACAAGUAUUAGCCAAAGAUGUUAGAUGGAAAAUAGUUCUUGAAUGUGGAUACAAUGGUGGCUCCUUAGAGUUGAUCCCUGAGCAUAAGAAUAGUUGCCCCUGUAGCACACCGACACCUCCGAAAAAAUGUGUGUUUGUGUGAGUGUACGUGUCUGAAACUAACACUUGUGAUUAGGUUUAAUUUAUUCAUUUUUAUAUCAUUACUAGUGUCGACGUGUCAGUGUUAGUGCCGUGUUUCCAGUGUUAGUGCCGUGUUUCCAGUGUCGGUGUCGUGUUUCCAGUGUCGGUGUCGUGUUUCCAGUGUCGGUGUCGUGUUUCCAGUGUCGGUGUCGUGUUUCCAAUGUCGGUGUCGUGUUUCCAAUGUCGGUGUCGUGUUUCCAAUGUCGGUGUCGUGUUUCCAAUGUCGGUGUCGUGUUUCCAAUGUCGGUGUCGUGUUUCCAAUGUCGGUGUCGUGUUUCCAAUGUCGGUGUCGUGUUUCCAAUGUCGGUGUCGUGUUUCCAAUGUCGGUGUCGUGUUUCCGGUGCCUGUGUUUCAUAGAUAGUUGAAUCACAAAUCCUAGUCUUUAGUUUAAGCUCUAUUAUUGGGGAGGAAUUUUCACACACACCCAACAUCACUUCAGAUGUACACAUCUCAGGUCUAUCCCAAUCAUUUGAGCAAUAGUACAUUUAACAUAGAGCCCAUUCUUAUCAAAACAGUAUGAAUAAUGACCCAAAUAAAAUCACCAAGGAACUAAAAGAAUCAUUAUGAAGCACACUCAUAGUUUAGUAAUAAUCAGAUAUCAUUUCAGUUCCAUAAAAAUCCCUUCAAAAGUGACAUAAAGGAAACCUUACCAACAUGAAUAGAGUUGCAUUGAACAGAAACAGUACCUUAACACGCCUUGUAGCAGCAACUUGCUCAACUUUGUGAACAAAUUGAUUGAAGGGAUAAUACGGGAGCAAACGAGAGUGCCAUUCAGAGUACAAUUCAAUCAGGUUCCCCAAAUCACGAACCUAACAACAAAAACGUGUAAUCAAAGCUUAAUAGAGAAAUCGCUAGUAAACAAUAAAUUAAAAAAUGAUGGGAUUAUUAAUGACCUCGUGGCCGCGACCGUGGUAUUUGAAGGAGCGAGGGAAAUAGCGAAGAACGUAACCGAGGCCGUCGUCGGAGAGAAGAAGUUCGGGGGUGAGUUUGGGGCGGGUACGGGGGAGUUUUUUGGGCUUCUCGAUGGCGGAUCUAGGGCCGGAAGGGUUGAAGGAAGAGGAAGGAGGAAGAUCGGCGGCGUUGGAGUUAGGAUUAGGGUUAGGGUUUGGAUUUGAAUCGGGAGCGGAGAAAGGGCAGUCGCGUGACCAGUGACCUGGUUUGCCACACUUGUAACACCCUGUUGCAGUUCCUGCCAUUUCUCUCUGGUAUCGUCUUAGUCUGUGACUUCAAAUUGGGAUUUUUUAAGAUUAAGGCUUUGCUCCUCUUAGUUGCGCGGGAAAUGGCGGGAAACGCAUCAGCUUUUUAUAAAGGAAAAAAAAAAACUUAAUAAAUUUUUUGAUAUACAUUUGUGUAUAAUAAUAACAAUUUAAUAUCUCUCUGUCUCUCCCUCUCUAUGUGUGUUGUAUAAAUGUCAAUUUCACCAUUAACAUUAGAAUUGAGCAAGAAAAUAUAAAUUAAUUGUAUACCUGGUUAAUAAGAUGAUAAAUAUAAAAAUUGAAGUUAAGAAGAAAAAACUAAUCUUAAGCUUCAAUUUUUUAGUACUAACGUGACUUUGGUCCUUCACUACACCCUUUGAUCCUUUAAUUUAUGUUUUUGCUGCUUCGAUGGACAACUGAGUGCGAAUGAUAAGUAGAAGGGUGAUACUUCUUGAAGAAUCGCUCGAAAGCAUCGUUACAUGUAUAUUUAAAAGGAACAAGAAUACCUUGUACUAAUACAGUAAACUAAUGAGGCUCCGACUUAGAGGAAUAAAAGCAAGCAAUUCUUUUUUAUGGAAUGUAGUCAUACUCUUGCAUAUGAUAACAUCCACUAAACAAUUUUGGUUCCACCGCGAAAUAACGACUUCGUCUAUGAGAGCCAGAAUUUGAUCCUCGUGUAUUUCCAUGUUUAGAUCUCCUCUAAUCCAGAGAUAUAUAUCUCAUCUCUUAAAAGUUCAAAUCUCUAUUUCUUUACCUUUUUCCUCAAAUCUCAACUUUAUUUCCAACAAAUCCUUCUUUAUAUUUAUCAAAUAUGGUGGCAUCCAAAGCCAUUUGUUUCACUGUUCAACGAUAAGUCAUUCCCGUUGUUGUUGAAGUUGAUAAAGAUUAACAUCUUAUUCCUCAAAAAGAAGACGAUUCAGUCUUGAUAGGAUCUUCAUCCAAUCCUUCACAGCAAGAUCAUGUUCAACCAAUAGUCAGCCAAAGAGUAUUCUAAACUCUUUCGUUCUUUGGUUCCAGACAACAAUUACGUCAAGGUGGACCUUCACAUAGACCUUUGUCGCUAUCUGUAAUUCAUAGACAAGAAAUGUUUCCCAGCAUUCAAGUGAUACAGGAUAACCUCAUGGGUGCAAGGAACUACUUGUUAUGGGUUGGCCAAAGACCUCAUACAAGGGAUAUCAAGCCCAAUCGUAAAGCCCAUGUAGAAUUAUCUUCCGGCAAGUAUAAAAAGUAGCCUCAUAAAAUAUUUCCAUCUUUUUCGCCUUAGGAAUGUUUUUGAGACAUGUCAAAUCUUAAUCAGAGAUUAAUACAAGUGCUUCUUGAGAAGUACAUAGAAUUUGGGAAGGUAGAAUGGCAAGAAGCUUAAGUAGAGGUGUAGAUGACUCGGCAGAAGCACCCCAAUAUAGUCUGACCCAUUUGACCAAAUAUCCCUCUAGAUGAGGACUUUGAUCCUGAUCAUGGUCCCUCUUGUUAUUGGUAAGAGGAUACGAAGUAUGGUCUUUAACACCUACAACAACAACCCCCACAUAAGCUUAGUCUUAACCAUAUGAGACCGAAAGGAUUUCACUAGCAGUAGAUACGCCAAGACCCAUUGGAGGAGGAUUGAAGGAUCUGAGUUGAAGAAAUGGUGAGGAUAGCUUUAGUCUUUCGUUUUUUAGCAAUAUCAAAAACCUUCUUCAAGGAAUUUAUUAUAUCUCUAAAUACCAAAACACCCCAUGUUUAAAAAGAAGGGCCAACAAUCGCUUAAUCUCUUCUUUAUGUACUAUUUACCAUUCCCAAAAUAGCAAGUGUGUCCAUCAAUCGCUUCCUUUUACAAUGAGGGCUUCCCCUCAUAAGGCCCAAACCCCCGCUUCGUAGUCGAGACCUUCGUAGAAAGCAUCAAUAUUUUCCUUCAUCUUAAUCUCUUCUGAAGUAAAGGAUUUCAAGGGAACAUUAUACUUGUGAGGCUUAUGUUUAAAGUGAACUUGUGCCCAAUUCCUUUGAAACCUAUCUACACAACAUUAUUUGGAACAUGGAAGAAGGUGGAGUGAGCUCCCAAGGUACGAGGUUUUACCAACAUGAAAUGAUCCUGAAAAUCGUCCAAAUUCCACAUAAGUGCUAAACUGAGGAACGAUUUGGCGCAAUGAGAUGAACCAUCUACCCAAGGAUGUUAUUUUGUGAAGUAUAAACCACAUCCAAAUGAUGGAAAAAUAGUAGGUAUGAAGGCCUCUAAAGUCGGUAAUCAUCCUAAAGUUGAAACACCCUUAUCAAAGCCCAAGCGCUGAGAUGAAGCUGUGAGGGGACAAUCUUAAAUAACUUUAAAACCUCCACUUAAAACUUGGAUAAAAUUGACGACAAAUUUAUCCGAGUAAACAAGAACUCGUAGUAAGGAAUAAAUCAUUCCCCGAAGUUGCUACAUAUCAUUUUACCUUAUUCCACUAGGAGAAAUGACCAAUCAGAGGAACAAUUUGCUUCUAUAUUAGCCUCACUCACGGUUGUAAGACUAUCUAAAACAUACGAGGUUCCUAAUAUUUUGAAAUCCUCCUAGUUAUACUUGCUUGCAUCGAUUAGCUCCACAAGAUCGAUACUUCUUCGAGGUAUCUCAUCAACCCAAAAGAUAUAUGAUGGCUUAAGCCAAUCAACACUUGUAGACUGGGUCAUACGUGCAAGAUGAUCCUUAAUCCCAACAUCACUUGGAUCGAUACCAAAGAUGGAAUAACUUCUACCUCCGGUGAAGUCAAAUUAGUAAAGUUGAACCCUCGAUGGUUGCGGAAGGAGCAGACACAUAACUGAUAGUGUGAUCACCUCUAACAUUCUCACCAUAAAGGAGAACGUCAAAGGAAUAUACAUCAAAAGAAAUUUCUCUAUUAAGAGAAACAUUAGAGAACCUCGCAGACUCAGAACUAUCAAACAUAUUUAUAAUGAUUGAGGUGAAUCGUAGAUUAAUAAAACUGGUGUCUGCAAGCUCGAUUUUGAAAUUUUCCACCCACUGAUUUGACACACAUUUGAAAGUUGAUUUGACCGGUCUAUUUGUAGAUCCGAAAAUUUAUUUCGAUUGACAUUCUAGGCAGUAUGUGGCAUGGAAUGCAUACUAUGAUAUACAAAGAUGCAAAAGCUGCGAUGUAUGUAUAAAUUCGGAGAUUCGGGGUCAAAAUUGGGGUGUGACUGUUGUCCAUAUUUAAAUAUCUUUGACCAGAGAAUAUGAAGAAGUACAAUUUUCAUAUGAUUGAGGAGGGAGAUAGUAAAUACUAAGAAGACCCAAAUUUUGAUCCUAAAUGUAUAUGACAUGACGCGAUAUGAUAUGCAUAUAUGCGGGACAUUUCAUUUUGAUUUUCUAGGGUUAUGGUAUGAUACGAGACGAACCCUAACAAGAUGCUUUUGUGAUGGACAAAGAAAGACAAACAAAUAUGUGGGGAAUGAUGGAAACAAGGUAAUGAUGGCCCACAGGAAACAAAAAUUAGGGUAGAAACUCGGUGGGGAUAACAAUCAUGUUGGAGAAACGACACUAGGGAGUAUUCAAAGUGAAAAAUGACAAAUGACACCUUAGAAUACACGAGAAUUAAAAAAAAUCGAGAUUUUUGACAAGAAAUACGUCCUAUCCACGAUGAUCUGGAGCUUUCUAACAAGAAAAGAAUCCAAUCAAGAAAAAUGGUGAUCUCUAACAAGUAAAUACAUCUAAAGCAAACCUGGGAGCUUUCUUACAAGAAAGUCAACCACACAAAGAAACUUGAAGGUUCUUUACAAAGAAAUAGUCCAAGACAAAACUCGGGAAUUUUCUAAUAAGAAAAACGUCCAUUCAAAGACUUUGGGGAUUCGUAACACUGAAAUCAAUUGUCACAAUGUUCUAUAGUUUUCUUACAAGGAAAAUGUCCAAACAACAAAAGAAAACCCUAACAGGAAAUUCAAAUCAAGACAAAACUCUGGAGUUUCCAACAAGAAAGUCAUCCACACAAAAAGAAACAUGGAGAUUUUUUACAAAAAGAUCGUCCAAGGUUAAAAUCGGGAGUUUUCUGACAAGAAAACGUCCAUGCAAAAGGCUACGAGGAUUCUUUACAAAGAAAUCAAUCUAGACAAAAUGUCAAAGUCUUAUAACAAGAAUGACAUCCAAACUUCUGGGAAUCCCUUAGAAUGACGAGCCAUACAUGAAUUUCUAGGAAACAUCUGGACAAAUAAGGUAUAAAACUAUCUGAAGGUGCCAACAACAAUUUGACUUAGACCGUAAGCAUUGGUUACAACCAGUUUCUGACGGAUCGAUGCUAGUUAUCACUGGACUUUUCAAAAUGGGUCUAGUAACGACUGGGCUUUAAAGAUGUCAAUGACCAUUGGAAUUUUCAAACGAUGCUAGUGAAAACCAGACUUAAGGUACCAAUUACAAUUGGAUUUUCAAAUAGAGUGUCAGUUACAACUGGACUUUAAGAACGAUGUCAAUAAUAACUGGACUUGUAAACAGUGCCAUUAAUGAUUGAACUUUAUAUGGUAUCAAUAACAAUUGGAUUUUAAACGGUGCUAAUGAGAACUGGACUUAAGGUACCAAUUACAAUUGUAUUUCAAAAUAGAGUGUUGAUUGCACCUAGACUUAACAGGUGCCAAUUAUAAUUGGAUUUUAAAUCAAUGUGCUAGUUACAACCAGACUUAAAAGGUACCAGUGACAACUAAAUUUUGAGGACACCAAUGAUAAUUGGAUGUUUGAGAAUGAAGUUCAAUGGCAAUUAGACUCUAUAGGGGAUGUUAGUAACAACUGGAUUUUUAAAAAAGAUAUUGGUGAUAACCAGACUUUAAAAAGAUACCAGUGACAAUUGGAUUUGGAAGACAUGCAUUGGUAACAACCAAACUUUGUAAGUGAUGUCAUUGACGAUUGGACUUAGGGUGCUAAUAACAAUUGAAAUUUAAGACAAUAUGCCAAUAACAAUUGAACUUCGAGAGUAAAGAUGAUAACAACCAAGCUUGGAAAAUGGUGCCAGUGACAAUUGGACUUUGGAUGUCAAUGACAAUUGGAAUUUGAAAUUAGAGUACAAGUUACAACUGGAAUUUAACAUAUGAAUGAUGGUAACAACCAAACUUUGGUUACCAAUAACAAUUGGUGCUUGACAAAAGGUGUCAGUGACAACUAGACUUUAAACUGUGCCAAUAAUAAUUGGACUUUGAAUACCAAUAACAAUUGGAUUAUAAACAAAGGGUGCCAAUAACAAUUGGACUCUAUGGUGAUACUCAUAAUAACUAGGUUUUGAAGAUAAUUCCAGUGACAACUGGACUUUAAGGGACACCAAUAACAAUUGGGCUUUGAAACGAUACCAGUGACAAGCUAGGACUCAAGGAUACCAAUAACAAUUGGACUUGAAAACAGAUACUAGUAACAACUAGCCUUUGAACAAGAUGCCAGUGACAACUGGACUUUGGGGAGUACCAAUAACAAUUGGGUUUUAAGAAAAACCAGUGACAAAUGGACUUUGGAUAUACCAAUAACAAUUGGAUUUUUUAAAACAGUGACAGUCACAAUAGAUUUACAAGAAUGUUUUCCGCUUACGGCAAAUUCUUGUCGGGCGUUAACUCCAUCAAAAGAAUUUAUUUUGAGCGAGGUUUUCAUAUCGAUCCUUACAAGGUAUUUACCUCGGUAUUUCAUACUACGUAACCAUCAUUCCUAGUUGGCCAUAGAUUCAAUGUUCUAAAAGGGCCUUAGAGUCAUGGACCCUCUUGAAACAUUGAAGCUUACGAGGUAUUCACCUUGGGCGACAACAUUUUCAAAAGGAUCUACUCUAAGUGAGGUUCUUAUAUCGACCCUUACAGGGUAUUCACCCUGGGAGUUCGUAUUACUCAACCAUCGUCUUAUCUUAUGUUUUCACUCUAGACUCGGGCAAAGAGUCUUUCUCACAAGGUUCGCAGUCAGAGUAACGAUCCAAAACUACAACAUAAUGGAACCAAUACAACAAAUUUUAUCAAUAUAAUAAUAGAGAUAAUAAAAGCAAGAAAGAAAAUCCACACAAGUAAAGUAAACAAAGGCACACAAAUGAUCUAACUAGGCUUGACUCACUUAGGGAAACCUCCCUAGCAGAGUCUUCAUCUGUCGCAUCUCAAAAAAUGAAAACACGACUUUACAAAGCACAAUCGCACAAUCACAUGAUGGACUAAACAGAUUCUCCAAUGAACUUUAUUUACUCCUAAAAAGGAUAUGGGAAAUAUCGAUGAAACCUAAGAAAGAACGACAAUGAUAUUGGUCGUCGCAACUAAAUCAGGGUUCGGGAGUCGACUACGUAAGGAGAAGAUAUUAACAUCCCUCAUGUUUGUUGUAUUCAACGAGAAUCGUUAGGUUAGUUGUGCAUGUUAGUGUUAGCUUGGAAAUGUUAGUGCAUGGUCCAUUUUAACACUUUUUUUUUUAUUGAUUUUAUUUUUAUGACUUAAAAUUAUUGUUAGCAUUUGAUCUUUAGGAUGAAGGUUGACCAUUGUCUCAUGGUCAACCUGACCUUUUCUUGGAAUUUUAUUUCAUAUUUUCAAUUUAUUUUGGAUUUAUUUUUGACCUAGUUUGGUUGGUUGACUUUUAAUUUGACUUCUGUUUUACUUUAAUUAAUUCACAUACCAAUUUUCAUUAUUUUUAAAAUCUUUUUGGGGGAUGAUGAUUUCCUGACCCCACCUUAUUUAUUUUAAUUUUUCAUAAUUUUCUUGAUUAAUUUACUAUUUAUUCUUGAUUUAUUUUUAACUUAGUCUUAUUAAUUGACUUUUGGUUUGACCUAUGUUUUGUUUUAAUUAAUUCACGUGCCAAUUUUCAUUAUUUUUAAAAUCUUUUUGGGGGAUGAUGAUGUCCUGACCCCACCUUAUUUAGUUUAAUUUUUCAUGAUUUUCUUGAUUAAUUUGCUAUUUAUUGUGUUAUUUUUUAAGUUGACUUGAAUUUUCAGUUGACUUUUUAUGCAUCGUGUUGACUUAGGGAUUGCUUAUGGCAAUUGAAGAGAUCUUUUGAUCCUCCCUUGUUCAUCUCAUAUGCCAUGUAUUAGAGCCUCUUACCUUGAUUUUAUUUGGUCCUUACCUCAUUCCUGAUUAAAUUAUUCAGUGGACCCUUCGUGUGGCAUAUUUUCAUCUGUUUAUUAUAUCUAUUACUUUAUACUUGUUUCUCUCAUUCAUGCUUUCUAUUGCUUGAUAUUUAACAUGUUCAUACUCCCAUGCAUUGUUAAAUGCUCCAUACUUGAUUUUUGGUUUGAUAUAUAUUGUUUAUUUAUCUGAUCUGAUUGAUAAUUGUUCCUACUGUAUGAUGUAUGAGGCAUUAUUCUAUUUUUGUUGCCAUGACAAUCCCCAUUCAUAAACAAAUGUACCCCUCUCCCCUAAAGUAUAAUAUUAUUUCUUUAUUCUUUAGUCACCUGUUAAUACAAAGAAUUAAACUAACAUCGAUAACCAUUUCAAAAAGAUCAAAAGCUCGAUCCAACGUCGAGUAAUCAUUUUCAAAAACUUAACAGACCAACACACUCCAUCAUCCUCUUGUAAGUCGAUUGCCUCAGCAUCCCAUCUACCUGUAAGUCGAUUGCCUCCGGCAUCGCCAUCUACCCUUAUCCGUAACUCCUCUUCGCGCCAUCUGUCGACUCUUGUUCUGUUUAGGUAGCACCCAUUAGGUAGAACCCUUGUAUGAUAACAUAGGUAGAAUUCCCUUAUUUCUGUGCAUGCUAACAUUAGGUAGAUGUUCCCCUUUGUAAAUCCUAACACAUAGGUCCAUAUUGCAUGACAACUCUAGAGCAGAGCUUCCCCACUUUUAGACCUUCCGUGCGUCUCCGAUCUUGUGGCAUGUCAGUCCGUUCUAUUAUAAAGAGGUAAAUGCCUAAGACUCGAUUCAGCGAGCUGUGACACCUACUGCUAGGACGUUGAACACACUGCCCACCCUCCUUUGAUACAGCUGGUGUCCUCUUUUGUAAGUCCAUGUUCAUAUGGCAAUCCUUAACCCCUAGUUAGUCGAAUUACGACAACUCUGAUUCUCAUGUUCAGAUGAGAUACGUAGGUACGAGAUGCGAUGUCUUGCCGAGUUUGACUGACGACUAACAACUAAUCCUUGCUUGCUUUCUCCCUUGUUGCGAUUCUUUUCUCUCGCCCUCGUUGCGAUCGAGACCUUCCCUUUCUCUUGCCCUAGUUGCAAUCGAGACCUUUGUUCCCGUAGUUAGCUGAACUACAUUUUGCUCUGAUUCUCAUUCUAGAUGAGAUACGUAGGCAUAAAACGCGAUGUCUUAGCGAGUACACUCCUCUUAGGCCCAUAGGUAGCCGAGCUACAAAGACUCUGAUUCUCAUACUCAGAUGAGAUACGUAGGCAGUGGAUGUGACAUCCUUGCGAGUCAUUUUCUUUUAACCUUCCUUUUAGUAAAUAGUACUUUAGAUAAGGAGUACCUAGGAUGGUUUGUGGGUGCUUAAAACUGCUUCCAUUGCAUAAACCAACCCCCUUUAGCCCAGAUCUCUGACAUUUUUACUAGUUUUUGAUUCGAUAAACUUUGCUUUCUAACCAUUCCUUUGGAUAAAUAGAAGUGAGGUGGCGACUCGACUUGUAUGGUUUACCUUGGAUUUAGUCAAUAUCUCUAAUGGUAACGAAUACCCCGCUACAAUAUCCUCCCAACUGAACUAAGGUUUUACGCAGGUUGACCCAAACCAAACCAAGAUUUUUACCAAGUUGAUCUCAAACUCAAUGAGCUUUUACAUCAAGCUAAACUCGGAAACCAAUAGAGAUUUUAACUAGGUUUAUCUCGAACCGAUAUAGAUUGUAACCGGUCUGAGCUCAAUAAUCAUUGUCUAGAUUUUCACUAGCUGAUCUUCAUGAACUUAAAGAGAUAUUUUUCUCCAAGGUGAAACUCACAAACCAAAUUGAGACUUCCUAGAACAAUCAGAUAGUUGAUAGCAAUCUAAGGCCUCACUCCACACUCAAUGUUUUGAAAUGUUCCAACUAUUUAAGAGAAAAGUAACGUCAUUUAACAUGUUUGAAAUCCAUACUCACUUUUACAUCACUUUUCAAUCUCUUGUUGGCUUAUGUGUUGGAUUGAUAACCUUACAGGUCAUCCACCUCUUCGUCGCAUCAUAAGCUAAAGUAUACCGUAGCAAACACUACCUUAUCCUCCACCAAACAAUCAUGGUUCCACCGCAUAACACCUUGUAUUAAAUUAUUGCAUUUUGACACACAACCAGUUUGUUCGCCAAUAUCAUCAACCUCAUUAUCGUUCUUAAUUACAAAUAAUCUAUUUCAUAUCUCUUCUAGUUAAUUCAUAUUUUUUUUCCAUAACGCUAAUAUUGAUAUUGUUCGGAAGGAUCAUUCUAAAGUAAUUUAAAUCACUUAUGAAAUAAUGUGAAUGUUUGUUUUAUGUACAACAAUUAUAAAUAUGGUGUACCAUGAUAUUAUCAUCUUGAUCUCUAAGAAACCAGAUGAUAUUGUUUCAAAUAUUAAGGUACCAUAGGUUGUUGAAUAUGGUGUUCAUGAACCCGAUAUUGCUAAACUUUAUUCUAGGAAAUAUUUUUUAAACAAAUUUGGGAAAAUAUUUUAUCACUGAGCAAGAGUUCAUGUUGCGUGAUGAUAUACUUAAACGGGUUCGUGUUGAUAUUGUUAAGUUAGAUUUUAGUGUAGUUAUAAAGGGGUAUGAUUUAGGUUGUGAUAGAAUAAAUGGUUUUGUUAUGAUGGGUUAUGAAAGAAGUAGUUGGACCGAUCAUGCUAGACACUUUGCCAACACCACCCUAUAGUUUAACCUGCUCAUGGUAUUAUUGAAACAAUAUUUAUUAAAUAGCAACAAAUAUUUUUGAAAGGAUUGGGAAAUAAUCAACAAUAUGGUUGUACUGGACAUUAAAAAAAAUAUGAUUAUACCAUAGCAUAAUGACAUAAAUUAUUUGGAAACAUCAUCACCAUAUUAUAACAUAUGUUUAAUAACAAGACUUUGUAUGGUUAGUUGGUUGAUAAUAUUUCUCAUGAAAAAAUGAAUUUUAUUUAUUACAAAAUUGUGCGAUCAGAGAAAACUUGUUCGGGAAGCUCAAAGUAUGGUUGUACAAUUAAAGAACAUAUGAUAUCCACAUGCUUGUAUCAAUGCCAAAAAGUUUCGUCUCAACACAUUUAUAAGUAUGGAUGAGGUAAGCAGACAUUAAAAAAGGCUACCGUUUGAUAAUGAUGAUGUAAUUAAAGAUGAUAAAUUAAAUAUAUAUAUUAUGGUAAAGUGGGGGAAAUUCAAGGAAAUUUUAAGAAAUUUGAUUACUAUUUGAAGUUGUGCAACAAAAUGCAGAUGCGUCAAAUGACCUAUUUAAAAACCACUAAGAUGACACCACCUACAUAACCAGUAAAAUCAAAAGGUGCUCCAAAGAGGGAGAAAUCCACUCUUGAUGAUAGUUCACUUAAGUGGUGACCAUUAUUUUAUGCACUACGCCAAAUAAGGGAAAAGAGGGCGCUUAUUUUGGCAUAUAACAGCGCUUUUAAGCGCCCUCUAAUCUGGCGUUGGCAUAGGUAAAGACAGCGCUUUGUUUUCCUGGAGAAAGCGCUGUCUAAAGUGGCCACAUUAUAGUGCGCUUUAAGAUAAAAGCGCCCUCUGGAGUGGUCCAUAAAGGGACACCUUAGAGGGCGCUUUCUGGAGAAGCGCCCUCUAAAGUUGUCAAUGUAAAGUGUUUAGAGGGCGCUUUCAGGAAAAAGCGCCCUCUAAAGUUGUCAAUGUAAAGUGUUUAGAGGGUGCUUUCAGGAAAAAGCGCCCUCUAAAAUUGUCAAUGUAAAGUGUUUAGAGGGCGCUUUCAGGAAAAAGCGUCCUCUAAAGUUGUCAAUGUAAAGUGUUUAGAGGGCGCUUUCUGGACAAAGCGCCCUCUAAAGUGUUAGUUAUUUUAAAAAAAUUUGUUUGAAAAAUAGUGGAUAUAUAUUUAAUUGGUAACCUGUUCGAGAGUCAACACCCAGUGACCACUGUAUCCAAAAGCUGUCUAGUAGUUCUAACCAAUACUAAACAAAAACGCCCAUCCACCCAUGGUGGCAAACAUGUUCUGUAUAUCCAAAAGCUGUCUAGUAGUUCUAUCGCACAUCCAUACAAAAUAAGGCUCAACCAAAACAACAGAUGGCAGCAUAAGUAGUCCCCUGCAAAAAGAACACGUCCAAAGUCAAAUAACACAAAACUGUCAAAAGGCGAUUGAGCAACAAAUAGUAAACAAUGGCAUAAAGUUAAAUGACAUAGCUAAUAUUACCUGAAUUCCUGCAUGGCUGUUAAGGUAAAAUCAAAUUCCCUAGGGGUGACAAAUGUUGGUGUCUACCACGGUUCCUUUGACAAUUUAGAACAACAAAUCAGCCAAAAAGUGAUAAAUUCAAAUGAUAAUAUAUACCAGCUGCGUUGAGAAAUAUAUUGAAAAAACCUGGCAUAAUAUUUCCACUUCUAUCGGUCUCUUUGGGGUUGACAGGAAAGAGACGGGUGUGAUGUCUCUUUUGGACCACUACAAAAGUAACUUUAGGUAGAUACCCAUUCUCUAUUGAGACAAAAGCCUGGUGAAAAAAAAUUAAAAAUUAAACGCAGAGAAUUUAGUGGUGUAUUUAUGAACGACAAAGUAACAAGAAAUCAACUUUGAAGAAGUCCUAAAUUCUGCCUACAAUACAGUGCUGCAAAGUCAGAUGACAAAUGUAAAAACAAUUAAAAUCAUAAAAGUCAUUUUACCUGUAAUAGAAAACAAUUAAAAUCAUUUGACCUGUACCUUUUCACUAAGUUCUCUUUCUUUUCUUGGUUGGAAUAUGUUCUACAUGUCUCUUAACAACACGGACGGUUGGAUUGAUCCAAAUACCCUCAUUAUGAUCAUUCUAAUAUAUGAAUCAUUUGAUAUAAUAUUCUCAUCUUGAUCAUUUCUGGUAAACGAUUCAAUCUCAACAUCAAUAUCACCUUGAUCUCCAGUGUUUUCAUCAAUUACUUUGUUGGAAAAAAGAACUAUAGACCAUUUCGUACUUUUCGGAUCAUUGACAUAGAACACUUGUCUAGCUUGAGAGGCUAGAAUAAAAGACUCAUCUUUGUAUCCCACCCUAUUAAGAUCCACUUGCAAAAAUCCUGACUUAUCCAUUCGAAUGCCGUUAUUAUUUUCAACCACUUGCAACCAAAUAUAGGAAUCUGAAACUUCUCAUAAUCAAACACCCAAAUGCGCUCGAUAACCACAAAUACGACAGAUUUGCAAAUUUGGGGUUUAAGUCCUUCACACUUGAUAUGUGCAUUGCUUCAGCUACCACUGUGACACCACUAUUCUGCAUAGUACUUUUAUCAUCUUGUUCUUUGGUAUAAAAUGUGUAUCCAUUAAUCGGUAUGCGCUAUAAAGAAAAACAUGGAAACUUGGACCAUAUGCUAAGCAUCUCAACCUUUCUGUUAUUGAAGCGAGAUCUGAAUAAUACUUUGAAUAAAUAUGAUCCUUAAACCAAGGUAUAAAACAUCGAUUGUGCUCUCGUACUAUCCAAUUUCAUUUCUAUUGGGAUUUAAACCUCGGAGAACAUCCUUGUGAAUUUCAACAUACGGCUCAACCUCAUUCUCAUUGUGCAGAACAUACAAAUGCACUUGAUCCCGUUCGACCUUGAUACUGCCACGAUUUUAUUUCCAAUUAGAUUUUUUCCUUCUUUCUUUUCGACAAGCUGAGACUUGGGAGUCCGAUUGACUGAACAUUAGACAAAUAUUCAGUACAAAACUCAAUCGCUUCUUCAACAAUGUAUCUUUCAACCAUACAACCUUCUGGUCGACUUCGGUUCUUCACGUACCCUUUUAAAUAUUUCAUAUAACGUUCAAUAGGGUACAUCCAUCUCAUAUAAGCUGGUCCACACAAUUGUGUCUCUUUAACAAGAUGAACAACUAGAUGUACCAUUAUGUCAAAAAAUGAUGGAGGAAAAAACAUUUCAAGCUCACACAAAGUAUAACGAUUUCUUUUUGCAACAUUGGUAAGAUCGCAGGAUUGAUCACCUUACUGCAAAUUGACUUGAAGAAAGAACACAACUUAGUUUAGAGCUUCUUACUUUUUCUGGAAGAAUAGAACGUAUACCUAUUGGGAGAAAAUGUUCCAUUAUAACAUGGCAAUCAUGGGUCUUUAAACUCUUUAACUUGAGGUCUUUCAUAGACACAAGUCUUCUAAUAUCUGAAGAGUACCCUUCUGGAACUUUAACUUCACUUAGAAACUUACACAAUGUUUUUUUUCUCCUUUCUAAAUAGAGUAUAAGCAGCAGGCGGUAGAUAUGUUCGUUUUCCUUUCUUCAAGGGUCCAAUUCAGUUCUAUUCCCAUCGUAUCAAGUCCUUUUUGCCUUAAGGCCAUCCUUAGACUUUCCUUGUAUAUUGAGUAACGUGCCAAUAACACUUUAAAAUACAUUUUUUUCAAUAUGCAUAACAUCAAGAAAUGUCUCACAUACAAGGACUUCCAAUACGGCAAUUCAAAAAAAACUGACCUCUUCUUCCACCCACUUUUGACAAGUGUGUGGCAAAAGGCUUGCCAAACUGAGUAUCCAAAUCUUUCACCUUUUCAAAAAUUUGAUCACCCGUCAAUAAUGGUGGAGCUCUGCCUUGUUCUGUCUCUCCAUUGAACGCCUUUCUCCAUCCACGGUAGUGAUGAUUUGAAUUUAAGAAUCUCCGAUGACGAGAAAGACAUUCUUCUGACCAAACUCCAAGCGCUUCCAAUCUGUUUUAUCUUCACAAACAGGACACGCACAUUGACCUUUUAUGCUAUACCCUGAUAGAUUUCCGUAUGCUGGAAAAUCAUUAAUUGUGCCAAACAACAUCGCCCUCAAGUUGAACUUUCUUCCUAUAUCCAUCAUAAACCUCCAACCGGUCUCCACAAAAUCUUUAAAUCUUCGAUUAAGGGCUUCAAGUACACGUCUAUGUCAUUCCCUGGUUGUUUAGGUCCAGAAAUCAACAUAGACAACAUCAUGUACUUACGCUUCAUACAUAGCCAUGAGGUGGUUAUAAAUCAUAAUAAUCACAGGCCAUGUACUGUGUGAGAUACUCUGGAUACCGUGUGGGUUCAUUCCAUCAGUAGAUAAUGCCAAGCGAAGGUUUCUUGAUUCUUCUCCAAAUUCAGGAUAUCAUUAUCAAUUUUCAACCACUGUGGUGAAUCUGCCGGAUGUCGAUACUUUCCAUCUAUAAUUCUUUCAUCUGCAUGCCAGGUCAAGUGUCUUGAAUCGGUUUCACUACGAAACAUGCGUCUAAAUCUCGGAAUAACAGGAAAAUACCACAAGACCUUUGCUGGAGACAACUUGUUCUUAUAUCGCGAGACACCGCAUUAUGACACUCAUUUAACGAUGCAAUCUCAUUUCGAAACAAAAACGCAAUCGUUUGGACAUGCAUGUAUCUUAUCAUAGCUCAUGCCAAUAGAGCACAACAUCUUUUUGGUCUCAUAUGUUCGAUUGGGAAGAACAUUAUCCUCAGGAAGCAUAUCUUUCAAAAGGGCUAAUAACUCUGUGAACUUUUAUCCGACCCACAUUGCCCGCCUUUAGUUGUACAACUUUAAUACCGUAGACAAUCUUGUGAAUUUAGUGCAACCAUCAUACAAAGGUUUCUCUGCAUCACUUACCAACCUCUCAAACAUUUCGGGACAAUCCUUAAGAUCUCCUUCAAGUGCUUCUGCAAUCUCUUCAACUCGAUCACAAUCGUAUGUAUCUGCGCCACUAUAGUUUGAGGCAUAGGUCGUACUAUCCCCCGGUUCAACAUUCUCGUUACUUUUCUCACCAUGCAAAUUCCAACAUGUAUAACUUCGAUCAAUUCCAUGCCUCAUUAGAUGCGAUGUCAACUGAACUGCGUCAACCUGUUUCCCAUAACAACAACCCAAGCAAGGACAUAUCAUUCUACUGGGGUCUUCGGCGUACGCAACGGCAAACUUAACGAAUUCUGAUACCCCAUUCUCGUACUCUCUCGACAAUCGAUUGGAAGACAUCCAUGUAUUAUCCAUUACUAAUUAGAAUAAAUAAAAAACAAUUUCAGAAGAGUUCAAACACAUUCGGACCUAGGUUUCUAAUGAUACUGGUGUUGCACAAAAUCAGAUGUUUCAUAGGUCGUAUAACCCAUUGCAUCCGCAAUCAUGGUCACUAAAAACCAACCGUCAAUUUCCUAGUGCAUCGCUAUCAUGGUCGAAACAAACGUAGAAGGAGGAAACGCGCAGUAAUAAGGUAAAACAGAAAUUGGGCAAAGCUAAAACAAAGCAAUAACAUAAAACAGUAAUUGGGAAAAGCGUGUACCUUUGAUUGGUAGAAGGAGGAAACGCGCAUGUAGAUCUAACAGAGGUGGAAGGAAAACGCCUCAGAACCCUAACGUGAAAAAACGCUAAUAACAGAUAGUGAAAUAACAAAACGCGCAGUAUGUUAUAAUUUUAAUGUUUACUAAAGGGGACAUUAGAGGGCGCUUGUGGAAAAAAAGCGCCCUCUAAAGGGGGCCUAAGAGGGCGCUUAUGAAAGCGCUCUCUAAGGCUUUCCAGAAGCGCUUUAUAAGCUGGAAAUGCACGUGAACUUAUAACAGCGCUUUAUUAAAAGCGCCCUCUAAGGGUAACCUUAGAGGCGCUUUCUAUAAAGCGCCAUGUAUUGUUGUCCCUCUAUCUCCUCCUUAUUUUUUCGUUUCACCUUAAAGGGCGCUUGUGGAAACAAAGCACCCUCUAAAGGGGGCCUAAGAGGGCGCUUAUGAAAGCGCUCUCUAAGGCUUUCCAGAAGCGCUCUAUAAGCUGGAAAUGCACAUGGACUUAUAACAGCGCUUUAUUAAAAGCGCCCUCUAAGGGUAACCUUAGAGGGCGCUUCUAAAAAGCGCCAUGUAUUGUUGUCCCUCUAUCUCCUUCUUAUUUUUUUCGCUUCACCUUAGAGGGCGCUUNNNAUAUUUAAUUGGUAACCUGUUCGCAUGCUGCAAAAGUGUAAAAUUCAUAUUGAUUUCAUCCUUUAAUCCAAUGUUAUACACCAUUAAUCCAUUGAUAUAUACAACAUGAAUCCAUUUAUAUACAACAUUAAUCCUCCAUAUAUACAACAUUAAUAUAUGAUUCUUUGAUCAACAAUAUCAACAACAUAUUCUCAAAGUACUACAAUUAAGAGAUAAAAACAUAGCAACCAACACCCAGUGACCACUGUAUCCAAAAGCUGUCUAGUAGUUCUAACCAAUACUAAACAAAAACGCCCAUCCACCCAUGGUGGCAAACAUGUUCUGUUUAUCCAAAAGCUGUCUAGUAGUUCUAUCGCACAUCCAUACAAAAUAAGGCUCAACCAACACAACAGAUGGCAGCAUAAGUAGUCCCCUGCAAAAAGAACACGUCCAAAUGCAAAUAACACAAAACUGUCAAAAGGCGAUUGAGCAACAAAUAGUAAACAAUGGCAUAAAGUUAAAUGACAUAGCUAAUAUUAC
RNAcentral lists this long non-coding RNA (82636 nucleotides) under Lathyrus oleraceus (garden pea). Its description in RNAcentral is "Pisum sativum (pea) long non-coding RNA (PSAT_LNC030787)". Lineage: Eukaryota; Viridiplantae; Streptophyta; Magnoliopsida; Fabales; Fabaceae. The record is from RNAcentral.